AGCAUACUUCCAAUUUUAUUAUUAUGGAGAAAUUAGAUUUAUCAAAAUAAAAAAAUAAACUAAACCAUAAAUGGUUCAUACCUCUUAUCCUCCACGGGGGUUGAAGCGAAGAACAUUUUUAAAGUUUGGAUGGUCAUCCCACUCCAACGAUUCCCACCAUUCUUUCCUUGACUUGAUGGUAAGAGAAGGUGGAGCAUAUGCAAAUGGCUGCCCAUUGCCAACAAAGGGAACAAAUGGAGGAAUUCUCUUUAGUUUAUCACACUUAUCAACACUGAUAAGCUCGAGAGAAUCACAAACCAUCACUCCACAUUUGCUGCAUAUGCUCUUCAAAUUUGGUAAUCUCCACAAUACCAGCUUUCUCAAUUUGGGAAGAUGGAAUUUGAUUAAUGCAUCACUCCCUUUUUCUUCAACUUCUGAUGUUGCUGCUCCCAAUAUUUCUACUAGCUGACUACAAGCACCCACAAAUAUUUCUUCCAGGUUUUGGAGGUUUGGAAGCAACCAAGGUGGAAGCAACGUCUUCAUACUUGAGCAGUUCGCUAUCAUAAUUUCCUUGAGUUGGAAGACGGAGCCACUGUUGAUGUUGUUGCUGAACCAAUUCCUGCAUCUUUCAUAAUAAGGGCACUCAACUUUGGCAGAAUUUGAAGAUCCAACACCUCGAGGCUCUGAAAUGGAUGAGCGGAAGAAGAGGCAAAAGAGAACAAGGAAACAACACACUUUAUCCCUUUACAAUCAUAAAUCCUACAAACCCUCAAGUCAAUCGCAUUUUUGAAGGAAGAAUUAUCAUCGACUAAGUUUCUCAAAUAGUCGCACCUUGAAAUAUUAAACUCUCGAAUUUCAUAUGGGUGCAUAAUUAACUCACCUUCCCAAUUCUGGACUCCUCCAAUUUGUUGAAUUUAGUUCCCAUGCAAGACAUGCAAAGGUGGCCAUGCAAGGAGAAGUGGCAGCAAGCAGUCGAGCUAUGAAGUGCAGAAACUGGAGCUUGAAGUUGCCUAACUACUUGUUAUGUUUUGAUUGUAUUUUUUAAUUAUUAUUAUUUUGUAAUCUAGUUUAUGUUGAACUAAGUUGGUAAACCUUAUGAUGUGUUUUUUUUGAUUGAUUGACUGAAAAAUCAGCAAAGAAACUUAAGCAAGCUGAUUAACAAUUUCCAAUGUAAAUUUAGUGGUGUUAGGUAUGUCAUUAGGUAAAGACUUGUUCAUUUUGUUGUUGUUAUCUAUUAUAUGUAAUGGCAUUAUGCCUUCUGGAUCAGUUAAUGAAAAUAUCAGCUCUUUUCAUUCAAAAUACUCUCUCUCAAUUUCUUUUGUUUUCCAUUCGCAUGUGUUUCUGUUCUUGCUUCUGAGUUUGUUUCUUCAGCAAGGCUCGAGGCUUGCUAUACAAGCAAGAUUGAAAAUAGUCUGUUGUUGUCUCUUUGCACCAACAAUUGGUAUCUAGAGCUUCAUUCUUAGUGGACCUGUUUUAUCAAACUAAGAAAGCUGAAUGUCUUCCUCAAGUUUUUCACCAGCAGCCCCACCAGUCUUCAAUGGAGAAGGCUUCCACAUAUGGUUGGUCAAGAUGAAGACUUACCUACAGGCCUUUGAUCUGUGGGAAGUUGUCAACACAGAUGCUGAGCCAGCACCACUGAGGGCCAAUCCCACAGUAGCUCAGAUUAGGCAACAUGCUGAUGAGAGGACCAAAAGGCACAAAGCCAUGUCCUGCAUUCAGAAUUGUGUGUCAGAUGUCAUCUUCACCAGAAUUAUGGCCUGUGAGACUCCAAAACAGGCACGGGAUAAGCUUAAGGAGGAGUUUCAAGGCACUGAGAGAAUAAGGCAACAGCAGCUAUUGAAUUUGAGAAGGGAUUUUGAGAACCUGAAGAUGAAGGAAGAAGAAACAGUGAAGCAGUAUGUAGAUAGAAUCAUGGCAGUGGUUAACAGUAUAAGGCUCCUUGGUGAGCACUUUGAUGAGGCAAGGAUAGUAGAGAAAGUUCUCUCCACUUUGCCUGAGAGAUAUGAGGCCAAGAUAUCCUCUCUUGAGGACUCAAGAAACCUUGCUACCAUCUCUUUGACUGAGCUAAUCAACACUUUCUAUGCUCAAGAACAAAGGAGAGCUAGCAGAGCUGAAGACCACCAGGAAGGUGCAUUCAAUGCUAAGGCCAGAGAAGCCUCGAGCAUCAAUGCUCCAAGAGGUAAAAAGCCUUGAAAAAGCAGGCCUAAGCCUGAUACUGCAAGGAGCAAUGACCAGCCCUGCAGACAUUGCAAGAGGCCAGGUCAUCCAGAAGACAGAUGCUGGUUCAGGCCAGAUGUAGUAUGCCAACACUGCAAGAAGAAAGGCCAUGUUGAAAGGGUUUGCAAAAAUAGAACCAAGUCAAGGCAGAGUCAAUUUCAACAACCAAAGGUUGAAGCUCGAGUAGCUGAGGACAGUAGUGAUCAAGAAGAGCAGGUCUUUGCUGUUUCUUGCUUAGUUGCUGAGAAGAAAUGCUCAAAAGGCUGGUUAUUGGACAGUGGUUGCACUAACCACAUGUCACCAGAUGCCUCCUUAUUUAAAACCUUAGAUAGAAGUUGCAAAACCAAGGUCAAGGUUGGAAAUGGUCAGUUCAUAAGGGCUGAAGGAAGAGGAAAGGUGCUGAUAUGUACCCCCACAGGCAACAAGAUCAUUCCAAAUGUGCUGUUAGUGCCAGAAAUCGACAGAAACCUUCUCAGCAUAGCUCAAUUGCUCGAGAAAGGCUAUUCUGUUGUGUUCAAGAACAAACAGUGCCACAUUGCUGAUCCAAGUGGAUCAAGCCUUAUGACAGUCACAAUGACUGACAAAUGCUUUGAGGUACACUGGCCAAAUGACUCAAAGUCUGCAUAUACAGCCUCUGUUGAUGAUUCCAAGCUUUGGCAUCAAAGGCUUGGGCAUGCCAACUUUAGAUCAUUGGCUCGAAUGGCCAAAGAAGGCUUGGCAGAGAACUUUACUAGCUUAGUGGAGCAUUAUGAUGUGUGUGAAGUUUGCCAGAUGGGGAAACAGGCAAGACUGCCAUUUCCUACAAAUUCAGCUUGGAGAGCUACUGAAAAACUGCAGCUGGUGCACUCUGAUGUAUGUGGCCCGAUGAGGACUGAAUCACUCAGCAAAAAUAGGUAUUUCAUCCUCUUCAUUGAUGGUUUUACAAGGUUUUGCUGGAUUUUCUUCUUAAAACACAAGUCUGAGGUAGCUCAAGUGUUUGUGAAGUUUAAAACUGCUGUAGAGACAGAAACAGGUUGCAAGCUGAAAUCGAUAAGGUCAGACAAUGGCACUGAGUACACUUCAGCUCAGUUUCAAGCCAUUUGCAAUGAUGCUGGUAUCAAACACCAGCUUACAAAUGUCUACACACCUCAGCAGAAUGGGGUAUCAGAAAGAAAGAACAGAAGCUUGAUGGAUAUGGCCAGGUGCCUGCUGUUUGAGAAGAAACUGCCCAAGACCAUGUGGGCUGAGGCAGUAAACUCUGCUGUCUACCUUCAAAAUAGGCUUCCUACCAAAGCUCUUGCAUCCAAAACACCUUUCGAGGCUUGGUCCGGUUUCAAGCCUUCCUUGGCACAUCUGAAGGUGUUUGGUUGCCUGUGUUAUGCACAAAUACCAGCAGCUAAGAGAGACAAGCUCUCUGAAAGGGCUCAACCAGGUGUUCUAGUAGGCUAUAGCUCAGUUAAGAAGGGCUAUAGGGUGCUGGAUCCUUUGACAAACAUAGUUCAAGUGAGCAGAGAUGUCAUCUUCGAUGAGAAGGCUUGCUGGAAUUGGGAAAAGAAUGAACCAGAAGCUGCUUCAGAAGACCUGGUGCCUAAUCAAGCUGAACUUGAGCAGCUAGGACCUGAAAUGGAUGUUGAUGAUGUGCCUGUGAGAGGCACAAGGCCCCUAGAUGAUAUUUAUGAAAGGGCACAGGUUGCAAUAGCAGAACCUAGCAGUUUUGAAGAGGCUGAGGCAGAUGAAGGCUGGAAACUAGCUAUGGUCGAUGAAAUCAACAUGAUUGAGAAGAACCAGACAUGGGAGCUAGUUGAUAAACCUACUGGAAAGAAGACCAUUGGAGUAAAAUGGGUCUAUCGAGCAAAACAGAAUGCAGAUGGCAGUCUGAACAAGCUAAAAGCCAGGCUUGUUGUCAAAUGUUUUAGCCAAAGGUAUGGUCUGGACUAUCUGGAGACAUUUGCACCAGUAGCCAGGCUUGACACAGUUAGAAUGAUAGUUGCCUUGGCUGCUCAACAUCAGUGGACCAUUCAUCAGCUUGAUGUUAAGUCUGCAUUUCUCAAUGGUUUCCUGGAAGAAGAGAUCUACAUCAAACAACCUCAAGGAUUUGUGGUCACUGGUAAAGAACACAAGGUGUACAGACUGAAAAAGGCUUUGUAUGGCCUGAAACAGGCUCCUUGAGCCUGGUAUGCUCGAAUUGAUUCUUACUUGCUCAGUUUGGAAUUCGAGAGAAGUCGCAGUGAACCAACACUGUAUGUGAAGAAGAACCAAGCUGAAACUCAACUUAUCCUGUCACUCUAUGUUGAUGAUUUAUUGGUGACUGGAGGAGAUAGAAGAAUGCUGGAAGAUUUCAAAAGAAAAAUGAUGGAAAUGUUUGAAAUGUCUGAUUUAGGCAGAAUGAACUACUUCCUUGGAAUGGAAGUGAAGCAAACAGCAAAGGGAAUCUUUCUUAGUUAGAGUUCUUUUACUAUGAAGAUCCUGGAUAAGUUCUCUAUGAAGAACUACAAGCCAACAAGCACACCAAUGGUUGUUGGAGUGAAGCUUUCGAGGCAAGGGAGUGGUGAACCAAUUUGCGAGACUAUGUACAAAAGUCUCAUUGGUAGUCUGUUGUAUUUGACUGCAACAAGACCCGAUAUCAUGUUUGCUGUUAGUGUGCUAUCCAGAUACAUGAAUUGCUGCAAUGAUCAGCACUUUCAAGCAGCUAAAAGAGUGCUUAGAUACAUCAAAGGCACCAUUGAUCAUGGUGUAUUGUUCAAAAGGGCUGAAAACAUGAAGCUGAUAGGCUAUGUUGAUAGUGACUGGGCUGGAUCUUGUGAUGACAUGAGAAGCACAUCUGGAUAUGCCUUUAGUCUUGGCUCAGGCAUGUUUUGCUGGAGUUUUAAAAAGAAAAUUCUGGUAGCACAGUCAACAGCAGAAGCUGAAUAUGUUGCUGCUGCAUCUGCUGUAAAUCAAGCCAUAUGGCUUAGAAAAAUCCUAGCUGAUUUAAAUCAAAAUCAAGGAAAUGCAACAGAGAUUUACUGUGAAAACAAAUCUGCUGUUGCAAUUGCAAAGAAUCCUAUCUUUCAUGGUAGAACAAAGCACUUCAACAUCAAGCUACAUGUCAUAAGGGAGAUGGAGCAAGCUCAUGAAAUCGAGCUGGUUCAUUGCAAUUCAGAAGAGCAAAUUGCUGAUAUCUUUACAAAGGCACUCAAUGUGUCUAAAUUUGUUAAAUUAAGAAGGCAAUUAGGUGUCACUAGCAUGGAAACUAAGGAGGAGUGUUGAAUUUAGUUCCCAUGCAAGACAUGCAAAGGUGGCCAUGCAAGGAGAAGUGGCAGCAAGCAGUCGAGCUAUGAAGUGCAGAAAUUAGAGCUUGAAGUUUCCUAACUACUUGUUAUGUUUUGAUUGUAUUUUUUAAUUAUUAUUAUUUUGUAAUCUAGUUCAUGUUGAACUAAGUUGGUAAACCUUAUGAUGUGUUUUUGUUGAUUGAUUGACUAAAAAAUCAGCAAAGAAACUUAAGCAAGCUGAUUAACAAUUUCCAAUGUAAAUUUAGUGGUGUUAGGUAUGUCAUUAGGUAAAGACUUGUUCAUUUUGUUGUUGUUAUCUAUUAUAUGUAAUGGCAUUAUGCCUUCUGGAUCAGUUAAUGAAAAUAUCAGCUCUUUUCAUUCAAAAUACUCUCUCUCAAUUUCUUUUGUUUUCCAUUCGCAUGUGUUUCUGUUCUUGCUUCUGAGUUUGUUUCUUCAGCAAGGCUCGAGGCUUGCUAUACACGCAAGAUUGAAAACAGUCUGUUGUUGUCUCUUUGCACCAACAUAAUUGUUACUGUUUUCUCCCUUCCACGACCCAUAUCAUCUGAGCUCACCUGUAAAUGGUACUUGAUGAGAUUUUUCUUACUUUGCUGCAUUGAGGAGAUGAACUUAUUCAAUUCACCGAUGUCUUUGAAACGUCCGGUAAAGCACUCCAACUUCUUCAAUGGUUCCAUCUCCUCUGCUUUUAGACUUGUUUUUUCAUUGCUCUCUUGAAAACCCAAGUGCUGAAGGUGAACAAGUUUUGGUAAAAGUCCAGCGGGUAUCUCUUUCAGAGUGCGCACUCUAAGAUCAAGAUAUCUUAGCUUUAUCAGCAUAUCCAUUCCUUCAGGGACUUCCUCAAUUUUAGUCCCACAAAGAUCCAACUUCUUCAAUUCUUGAAGCGUAGAAAGACAUGGCAGAUCUCUUAAAUCAAAACAGCCACCAAGCAACAAUGUUGUGAGGUUCUUUAGUUCAGAGAUGGAAUUUGGUAAACUUUUGAUCUUCGUAGAGGAAAAAUUGAGAACACUAAGACAAGGCAUGUUUGUGAAGAAAGAAUAUGGGAUCUUCUUUAUAGGGUUAUCCUGCAAUAACAAGGUUGUGAGCAGUUGGCAUUUUGUGGGUAGCACAUCUAUGGAAAUUUCUGGUAUGGAGUUAAACAUAAGCGACACUUUCUCAAUAUCUGGACUCCAUUGCUCCUCUUUUGGUAACUCCUCUAAUUGCAAACCUGCUUGUAUCAUAUAUCGAGGAUUCAUUCUUGUGAUCGACAAUGCCAUGUCUCUCACUGCAUCAUGCAUCUUUAUACGAUGUAAACCAAAUUUAGUGGUAAUAUUUUCCAACAAGCAAUUAUCUUCUAACUUCUUCAAAAUAACAUGGCCCUUUUCUUUCAUUUCUUGUCUUGUACCCAUAUCAUCUAUGAAUCCCUCCUCAAUCCAGCACUCAAUUAGCUUAUCUUUUCCAAUUUCAUAAUCUUCAGGAUAUAAUGUGCAAUGUAAGAAACAAUGCUUCAUUUUCUCGUCUUUUAAGUGAUUGAAGCUAACUUUCAAACUCUCGAUCACUUUAUCUUCCCCUUCUUUCACUUUCCCUAUUCUCUCUUUCAAUUCCCUGAGUGUGUUUUUCCUAAUAAGAGGGUCAUCUUCUCCUCUCAAUGUACCAGCCAUGACGACAAUUGUAAGAGGCAGACCUGCACAUUCCUUGACAACAAGCUUCAAAGUUGGCAUUAAAGUUUGAUUUUGCACUAUGUUAGGUCCAACUUCACUCAAGAAUAGUAUCAAUGCCUCUUCUUCUGAAAGGGGCUUCACUUUUAUCACCUUACAGCCCAUAGACUUACAAACUUGCUCCACACGGGUUGUCAACACCAACUUGUACCCAUUGCUGCUACUUGGCUUAGGGAUCCCAAUUUCUUCCAACGAGACUUCAAUCCACACAUCAUCUAGGAUUAGAACAUGCUUUCCUGCUCUCUUCAGCAUUUCGGACAAGAUUGCUGCUCGUCUGACCUUGUUUGCUUCUUCAGGAAUCUUUCCAUUCAAUGCACUUAAAGUUAGAAGAAAGCAUACAAUGCAUUGUUAAACAUAAAAGAGUGUGAGCUUUUUCAAGCUCAGUGAGUGUUUAGAGAUUGCCACAAGUAAUCACAAUAUCCAAAGUUAGAAGAAAGCAUACAAUCACAAUUAAUCAUGGUGAGCAAUAAAGCAUAAUUCAUAGCAUUCACAAUAUUAAUAUGUUGCUACAAUGUGAUUACGAAGCAUAUGUACAAAAUAUAUAAUAAAAUAUUUUAUCAACAUAUAAAAUCAACAAGACUCAUAUCAUAUUCAGUCAUAAACACAUAACAUUUUUAUUGUCAUCUCAAUAUACAACACAUAACAUAUCACAUUUAAGCAUCAUUUGCAAAUCAUCAUUAGUUUAGGUAGAAACACUUACUCUUGAAAAUUGGAUGGUGUGGAUGUGUUUGGAUAGCUAGAAAAUCAUUAAGGAUGAGUUAAUUUUGAGAGAAAAUAUUAGAGUUGAAUUUGGGGAAAUUUUGAAUGUGAAAUUCAAUGGAGGGUACGGACGUCGGGUUCUUAAAGAAACGGGGAAGAUGAGUAGUUUUUUUUUAAAUAAGGAAAAAUUGCAUUUUAAAAACUUCCAGUUUUUCUUUAUUUUUCAAUUUAGACCUUAGCUUAAUUAAAACACAUUUUUCUCAAUUAUUUUCAAACCCGAUAUUUUAAAAAAAAUUCAUUUUAACCAAAUUAAUUCCCGAACACUCAAUUUUAAUUUCUUAAAAUAAAAUUAUUAAUGAUAUUAAUUUUAUUAUUUUAUUUAAUUACUUUCUGAUUAUUUUAAUGAUCUAACUUAAUUACGAUUUUUGAUUCACUAACCCCCGAUUUACUAUCCCGAUUUUUGGGAUGUGACAUGACAACAUUAUGUAAAUAUGAUAUAAUAAUAAUCACUGAUAGCAUACAAAUAAAUUAUUGAUUACAUACCCUAUUGUAUAAACUAAAAUAUAUUUAUACUACAAGUUCUAUAAUAUGAUAUCUAAAUGGGUUAAUUUUUAAAAUUGCAUAUUUUAAAAUUAAAAAAAAUUAUAGAAAUGUUAAUUUAUAAUUAUUUCUAACUUAUGUGCUUUUCAAUGUUAAAACUUUUACUAGAAUUAUUAGUAAAAAAUGCAUGAAUGAUUGAUAGCAUAAUCAUUUUAAAGACAUAAUUAUAAAUUAAUUAUAUAAAAAGGGUAAACACUUCGUAACAUAGUAAUAAAUAAUUUAUAAUACAUGAAUAAAUUAUGGAUAAAAUAAUAAGAAAUAAUAUAGUAUAAAAUUAAAUAAAUAAUAAUAUAAUAUAGUAAUAAAAUUUAUAAAUAAAUUUUUUAAUUAAGUAGAUAAUUUUAUAAAUAUCAGUGCAAAACGUCGAAAUCAUUAGGUUUCAUUGUAUCCUCGAGGUCAAUUUCCGAGUAACUCUUUUGCACAGCAAUAAAUAGGUGGGGGCAAAUAGAACUUUAAAAUAGUGACAUUGAUACACACAUUGGAACCUUUUUUAAUUUCUCAUAAAUUUAUUUUUAUCUCCGCACAGUAAUAGUUAUGGAAACAAUUAUCAAAGAAAACAAAAAAUAUUAUGAGUAAAUUUUUAUGGUCUUCGGGGCAACUUUCGUUUUUAUGUUCCACAAAGGUAAUGUAAAUUCGAUAUUAAUGUUUUCAAAAUUGUAUUUUUUUUAUCACUCGACUAUUUAGUGACACUUUUUUAAUUAGUAUAAUAACAAUUUUAGUCCUCAAAUUUUCUACUUUCAGUCAAUUUAAUCUUGAUAAUAUAUAAAAUGGUAAAAAUUUGAAAUUAUUUUUAAAAUUUUAGAAAAUUAUAAAAUAAAAAAUUAAAUAAAAGUAGAUAAAAAUUUUAAAAAUAAAUAAAGUGAGAGAAAAUGAGGGAUAAUUGUUUUUAAACCCUCCAGAAUUUCUCUACAUUGUAUGUAUUGAAAAUUAAAGAAUUUAUAGUACUUUCCUAACUUUUAUUGUAAAUAAAAGCAAGAUCAUAGUUUUGCCUCACCUUAAAUCAUUUUGAUUAAUAUAUGUUUAUAUUUUAUUUAAAUAUUAAUAAAAAUAAAAUAUAUUUUAAUUUUUAAUACCAUUUAAGUUUUAAUACUUUUUCAAGCCUAGGCCGGUUUUCGGCCUAACUUGGUUGAUCCCAAAAUUCUACAUUACUGUGCAAGAAUAUUUUAAAAAAUAAUUUUAUAUUAAUAUUUAUAUAUUUUUAUAAUUAAAUUAAGUUUUAAAAAUAUUUUAUAUUAUUUAAAUUGAAUUCGAGUUGGACCGACUCAAGACAUGGAGAGAUUUAUAGCCAUCUUCUAUUGUGUAUAUAUAUUUUUAUAUAAAAUUUAAAAUUUAUUAAAAUUUACAAAAUAAUAGACUAGUGUUGAAUGUGGUAAAAGACCAUAAUAAUAUUUGAUUCGAUAUCAUAUCAAAAUAAGUUUAUAACUUAAAUGUUUUAAUUAUAAAUAUGAAUAUAUUAGAGAAGAAUAAGAGAAUAGAAGGAAUGGUAAGAGAGGGACAAUGUUUAAAAAGUGUAGGCACUUUGAUUUCUUUAUUUAUUUGUGCUCUUAACCUCUUCCUUCCAUCAUUCCUGUUCUCCUCUCUUAUCCUCAAAAGGGGUUGAAGCGAAGAACAUUUUUUAAGUUUGGAUGGUCAUCCCACUCCAACCAUUCCCACCAUUCUGUGCUUGACCUGAUGGUAAGAGAAGGUGGAGCAUAUGCAAAUGGCUGCCCAUUGCCAACAAGGGGAACAAAUGGAGGAAUUCUCUUCAGUUUAUCACAUCUAGUAAUAUGGAUAAGUUGGAGAGAAUCACAAACCAUCACUCCACUUUUGCUGCAUAUGCUCUUCAAAUUUGGUAAUCUCCACAAUUCCACCUCUCCCAAUUUGGGAAGAUGGAAUUUGAUUAAUGCAUCACUCCCUUUUUCUUCAACUUCUGAUGUUGCUGCUCCCAAUAUUUCUACUAGCUGACUACAAGCACCCACAUGUAUUUCUUCCAGGUUUUGGAGGUUUGGAAGCAACCAAUGUGGAAGCAACGUCUUCAUACUUGAGCAUCUCUGUAAAUAAAAUUUCUUAAGAUGGGAAAAGGUGGUAGACGGAGCAAAUGUUGAUGUUGUUGCUGAACCAAUUCCUGCAUCAUUCAUAAUAAGGGCACUCAACUUUGGCAGAUGUUGAAGAUCCAAUAUCUCGACGCUCUGAAAUGGAUGAGCGGAAGAAGAGGCCAAAGAGGACAAGGAAACAACACACUCUAUCCCUUUACAUUCAUAAAUCCUCAACUCAAUCGCAUUUUUCAGGGAAGAAUUAUCAUCGACUAUGUUUCUCAAAUAGUCGCACUUUAUAAUAUUCAAGUGUUGAUUUUCAAUUGGGUGCGUAAUUAACUCACCUUCCCAAUUCUGGACUCCUCCAAUUGUUACUGUUUUAUCUCUUGCAGUAGGCAUAAAAGAUGAGCCCACCUGUAAAUAGUACUUGAUGAGAUUUUUCUUACUUUGUUGCAUCGAGGCGAUGAACUUAUUGAAUUCAUUGAUGUCUUCGAAACGUCCGGUAAAGCACUCCAACUUCUUCAAUGGUUCCAUCUCCUCUGCUUUUAGACUUGUUUUUUCAUUGUACACAUCAAAACUCAAGUGUUGAAGGUGAACGAGUUUUGGUAAAAGUCCAGCGGGUAUCUCUUUCAGAGUGAACACUUGAAGAUCAAGAUAUCUUAGCUUUAUCAAUAAAUCCAUGCCUUCAGGGACUUCCUCAAUUUCUGUCCAACAAAGAUCUAACUUCUUCAAUUCUUGAAGCAUCGAAAGACAUGUUGGAAUAUUUUCAAAUAUUUAUAGUAUCCCAAUAACUAUAAAUGAAUGGGUGUAAUUAAUCAAAAGAUAAAACUUUUGGUCAUUGGUCAAAAGUUAUAUCAUUUGAUUUUUUAAAAAAGAAUUAUAACUAUUCAAAAGAUAUUAUUUGAAUAGUUACAAAAUUAAAUGAAUAAUUAUUAUUAUUAUUUAUUUAUUCAUAAAGACACCUAUUGAAAGAUGUCUCUAUGAAGAGACAUGAAAAUUCCUAUAAAUAGGAAUGGGAUUUCAUUUGGAAAUGAUAUCAACAAAUUCUAAUAUUAUUUCUUCUCUUCCUUCAUUUUCUAAUAUUAUUAGAUUAUUCUAUAAAGUAUUGCUGCAGAAAUCCUUUGUAGAAAUUGAGUUUUUGUUAUACAUUACUCAGUGCAUAGUGGACUAUUCUCGUCAGUGCAAAACGCAAAUAGUCAUUGGCUUCAUUGUAUCCUCGAGGUUAAUUUGCUUGGAACUCGUUUGCACACUGAAGAUAAGUGAGGGCGAAUAUAACCUUAAAGAUAGUGGCUUGAUACACGCCUUGGAGCCUGUCCUAUUUCUUCUUUUUCUUUUCGAGUUCCGAUCGUGUGUUCGAGUUUUUUUUCCUUACCGGAGUUUUGUACUAACAAUUUUAAGGUUAUAUUUCAUGAUGACUACCACAACACAUGAAAGUGGAACACUAAGGGAGUUGGCUUCCAACUUUGUUAAACUUGAUCGUUUUGAUGGUGGCAAUUUUCGACGAUGGCAGAAAAAGAUGCACUUUUUGUUAUCAACUUUGAAGAUUGCUUAUGUUUUGGAUACUCCAAGACCUGAAGAGAAUGAAAAUGAAUCUGUUGCUGUAACCCGAGAAAGACAAAAAUGGGACAAUGCUGAUUACAUGUGCAUGGGCCACAUAUUGAAUGGUUUAACUGAUGGUUUGUUCGACACCUACCAAAACGACGUCACCGCUAAAGAAUUAUGGGACAAAUUGGAGGCAAGAUACAUGAUUGAAGAUGUUACAAGUAAGAAAUUUCUUGUCAGUCGUUUCAAUAAUUAUCAAAUGGUUGAUGGUCGUUCUGUUAUGGAACAAUUUCGUGAUAUUGAAAAGAUGCUGAAUCAAUUUAAGCAAUAUGAUAUGAAAAUGGAUGAAAUGAUUGUGGUAUCCUCCAUAAUAGACAAACUUCCUCCAUCUUGGAAAGACUUUAAAAGAAGUCUAAAACAUAAGAAAGAUGAAAUAUCUCUUGAGGCUUUGGCAAAUCAUUUUCGUAUUGAAGAAGAGUAUCGAAAACAAGAUCAGAACCUAAAUUCUGAAAAUGCCAAAGUACAUGUUACGGAGGAAGUACAGACUACUAAACCAUUCAAGAGAAAGUUCAAUCAGACUGAUAGAGCACCUAAGUUCAAAAAGAAACAAAAGGGCUCAUGCUAUCAUUGUGGAAAGCCGGGACAUUUCAAGAAUGAAUGUCGAUUUUUAAAGAAGAAAUCAUUUUCUAAGGCUGAUAAUAACGAAAAGUUCGUUGCAAUGAUAUCUGAAAUUAAUAUGGCACAAGAUGAUAAUACAUGGUGGAUUGAUACCGGAGCAACCAAACAUGUGUGCAAAGACAAAAGCAUGUUCACAAAGUUUACACAAUGUGAAAAUGACAAUGUCUUGUACAUGGGAAAUUCUUCCACCGCAACAAUUAAAGGCAAAGGGUCUGUUGAACUACAAUUCACUUCUGGAAAGGUUUUAACCUUAAAUGAUGUAUAUUAUGUACCAGAAGUUAGGAAAAAUUUAGUGUCUGGAAGUCUGUUGAAUAAGUUUGGUUUCAAACUUGUUUUUGAGGCAGAUAAGUUUAUUUUGUCUAAGGGAGGAAUUUUUGUGGGAAAAGGGUAUAUGUAUGAAAGCAUGUUCAAACUUAAUAUUAUUAAUAAGAAUAAAAAUACUAUUUCUGCUUAUAUGGUUGAAUCAUUUUGUUUGUGGCAUUAUAGAUUAGGUCAUUUGAAUUAUAGAAAAUUGAAUGACAUGUAUAAAUUAGAUUUAAUUCCUGUUUUUAAUAAUAAUAUUGAAAAAUGCAAUACCUGUAUGUUGACUAAAAUUACAAGAAAUCCUUUCCCUAAGGUUAAAAGGAAAACAAAAUUGCUUGAUUUGAUACAUAGUGAUUUAUGUGACUUGCAUAAUACUCCUACAUUAGGUGGAAAGAAAUAUUUUGUUACUUUUAUUGAUGAUUGUUCUAGAUAUUGUUAUGUAUAUUUAUUGCAUUCAAAAGAUGAAGCGCUUGAUAAAUUUAAAGUUUAUAAAUCUGAAGUUGAACUUCAGUGUGAAUCAUUUAUCAAGUGCUUAAGAUCGGAUAGAGGUGGAGAAUACUAUAAUCCAAGUUAUUUUGAACUCACUGGAAUUGUCCAUCAAGUUUCAGCCCCUUACACACCACAACAAAAUGGUGUAGCUGAAAGGAAAAAUAGAGUCUUGAUUGAAAUGGUAAAUUCAAUGUUAUCAUAUUCAGGUCUUGGACAGGGUUUUUGGGGAGAAGCUGUUCUAACAGCUUGUCAUAUAUUGAAUAGAGUUCCUAAUAAGGAAACUAAAAUAACCCCCUAUGAACAAUGGAAGAAAAGGAAACCAAACCUUAAUUAUUUAAAGGUUUGGGGUUGUAGAGCUAUUGUAAAAGUUCCAACACCUAAACGUAAAAAGUUAGGUGAAAGAGGAAUUGAAUGCAUAUUUAUAGGUUAUGCACAUAAUAGCAAGGCAUAUAGGUUCAUAGUAAUUGAACCAAAUGAUUCAAUUUCAAUUAAUACGGUUAUUGAAUCAAGAGAUACUAUUUUUGAUGAAAAUAGAUUUAAUUCUAUAUCAAGACAAUUACAACCACAACAAUUGAUUCAUUCUUCAAAUGAGAAUGAGAUUCCAUUGAAACAAAUUGAUAAUAAUGAUGAAUCUUGUCAAGAAUUAAGAAGAAGUAAGAGGAUUAAAAAGGUCAAAGAUUUUGGACCAGAUUUCAUUAUGUUUCUUGUAGAAGGAAAAGGUGAAAGUAUAUGCAAUAAGAAACCUUAUUGUUAUAAUACCGAAUCUGAUCCUAUUACAUUUGAAGAAGCAGUGAAAUCUCAAGACUCUGCUUUUUGGAAAGAAGCAAUAAAUGAUGAAAUGGAUUCAAUAAUGGGAAAUCAAACUUGGAUCUUAGUUGAUCUUCCACCAGGUUCCAAACCAAUAGGUUGUAAAUGGAUCUUCAAAAAGAAAAUGAAGGUCGAUGGAACCAUUGAUAAAUUUAAAGCAAGGUUGGUAGCAAAAGGUUUUACACAAAGACAAGGUAUUGAUUACUUUGAUACCUAUGCUCCAGUAGCAAGAAUUGCUACAAUUAGACUAUUAAUAUCACUUACCUCUAUAUAUAAUUUGGUUCACCAAAUGGAUGUUAAAACUGCAUUUUUAAAUGGUGAAUUGGAAGAGGAAGUGUACAUGGAGCAACCGGAAGGAUUUAUUGUUCCAGGACAAGAGCAUAAGGUAUGUAAGCUUGUUAAAUCUUUAUAUGGGCUUAAACAAGCACCAAAACAAUGGCACCAAAAGUUUGACAAGGUUGUUUUAGCUAAUGGCUAUAAAAUAAAUGAAUCCGAUAAGUGCAUAUAUAGUAAAUUUGAUAAUGGAAAGGGUGUUAUAAUUUGCUUAUAUGUAGAUGACAUGCUCAUUUUUGGCACGGAUUUGGAACAAAUAGAAAACACAAAGAAAUUCUUGUCAAACAACUUUGCUAUGAAGGAUAUUGGUGUAGCAGAUGUUAUUCUUGGGAUUAAAAUAACCCGAGAUGAAAGCACUAUAGCUUUAUCACAAUCACAUUACAUUGAAAAUGUGCUUAAAAAGUUUGAUCUUUUCAACUGUAUACCAGCAUCUACACCCAUGGAUCCUCAAUUAAAAUUAGUAUCUAAUGCUGGUAGGAAAAUUGAUCAAUUGAAAUAUGCAAGUCUAAUUGGUUGUCUUAUGUACAUAAUGACUUGUACAAGACCAGAUAUUGCAUAUGCUAUUGGAAAAUUGAGUAGAUACAUAAGUAAUCCAAGUAGUUUGCAUUGGCAAGCUUUAAAUAGAGUACUUAGGUACUUAAAGAAAACUAUUAACUAUGGAUUGUGUUAUAAUGGAUAUCCUCCAGUUUUAGAAGGGUAUUCGAAUGCUAGUUGGAUUACAAGUUUGGAAGAUCAUGCAUCUACUAGUGGGUGGAUCUUCAUUCUUGGUGGAGGAGUCAUUUCUUGGGGUUCCAAGAAACAAACAUGUAUUACUGAUUCCACCAUGGCAGCAGAAUUUAUUGCAUUAGCCGCUGCAUCUAAAGAAGCAGAAUGGUUAAGAAAUUUGCUUUAUGAUGUACCUUUAUGGCUUAAGCCAAUUUCACCUAUUUCUAUCCGUUGUGAUAGUGAGGCUACUCUAGCAAAGGCAUAUAGCCAAGUAUAUAAUGGAAAGUCUAGACACAUUGGAUUAAGACAUAGUUAUGUCCGACAAUUAAUCUCUGAUGGAGUGAUCACUAUUAAUUAUGUGAGGUCAAGUGAAAAUUUGGCAGAUCCUUUGACAAAAAGUCUUGCUAGAGAUGCAGUAAAAAGGACCUCAAAAGGGAUGGGACUCAAGCCUAUUAAUUAGAGUCACCCAUGAUGGAAACUCGACUCAACGCUUGGUAUAACGUCAAGUCUUGAGUUCAAUGAGACAAAGUACAUCAUUAGUAUGUGACUGUUAGCACUAUAAAUAAAUCCAUCCUAAGAUUAAAGUGCUAGGUACUCGUAAUGAUAAGGGAAGGAUGAGUAAUGUACUCUUAAUGGACCCAUAACAUAAAUAUGUUAGAGUGUUAUAAUUACGGGAACACUUUUGAUGGGAUCUACCUAUGUGAGUGGAAGUGUGGCCGCUUCUAGGAGCUUAAGGGCUUGGCUCUGACAGCACUCAUGAAAAGAGGACAUAGACACAUAGCUAUAAUAGUGUCCCUAGAUACUAUGCAUUGACUGAUGUUGAAAUCAUUGUGUGAGAUGUGUUCAGUUAAUCAAAUGGAAUAGUUGGUUCAAAGCUUAGUCUACCAUAAAAUUUCAAUUAACUUUAACAUGUUUUCACUAAGUGAAGGUUCAAUCGUAAGACACCUUUAUUUAUACAAAUUGAUUUCCAAGAAUAUCAAAAUCUAAUUAUUUUGAAAAUGGGGGGGGAUAAUUGUUGGAAUAUUUUCAAAUAUUUAUAGUAUCCCAAUAACUAUAAAUGAAUGGGUGUAAUUAAUCAAAAGAUAAAACUUUUGGUCAUUGAUCAAAAGUUAUAUCAUUUGAUUUUUUAAAAAAGAAUUAUAACUAUUCAACAAAUAUUAUUUGAAUAGUUACAAAAUUAAAUGAAUAAUUAUUAUUAUUUAUUUAUUCAUAAAGACACCUAUUGAAAGAUGUCUCUAUGAAGAGACAUGAAAAUUCCUAUAAAUAGGAAUGGGAUUUCAUUUGGAAAUGAUAUCAACAAAUUCUAAUAUUAUUUCUUCUCUUCCUUCAUUUUCUAAUAUUAUUAGAUUAUUCUAUAAAGUAUUGCUGCAGAAAUCCUUUGUAGAAAUUGAGUUUUUGUUAUACAUUACUCAGUGCAUAGUGGACUAUUCUCGUCAGUGCAAAACGCAAAUAGUCAUUGGCUUCAUUGUAUCCUCGAGGUUAAUUUGCUUGGAACUCGUUUGCACACUGAAGAUAAGUGGGGGCGAAUAUAACCUUAAAGAUAGUGGCUUGAUACACGCCUUGGAGCCUGUCCUAUUUCUUCUUUUUCUUUUCGAGUUCCGAUCGUGUGUUCGAGUUUUUUUUCCUUACCGGAGUUUUGUACUAACAAGACAUGGCAGAUCUCUUAAUUGAUAACAGCCACGAAGAAAUAAUGUUGUGAGGUUCUUUAGUUCAGAGAUGGAAUUUGGUAAACUCUCGAUCUUUGUAAAAGACAAAUUGAGAACACUAAGACAAGGCUUGUUCAUGAAUAAAGAAUAUGGGAUUUUCUUUACAGGGUUCCCCCGCAAUAACAAGGUUGUGAGCAGUUGACAUUUUGUAGGCAGCACACCUAUGGAAACUUCUGAUAUGGAGUUAUACAUAAGUGACACUUUCUCAAUAUCUGGACUCCAUUGCUCCUUUUCUGGUAACUCUUCUAAUUGCGAACCUGCUUGUAUCAUAUAUUGAGGAUUCAUUCUUGUGAUCGACAGUGCCAUGUCUCUCACUGCAUCAUGCAUCUUUAUGCGAUGUAAACCAAAUUCAGUGGUAAUAUUUUCCAACAAGCAAUUAUCUUCCAACUUCUUCAAAAUAACUUGGCCCUUGCCUUCCAUUUCGUGUCUUGUAGCCAUAUCAUCUAUGAAUCCCUCUUCAAUCCAGCACUCAAUUAACUCAUCCUUCCAAAUUUCAAAAUCUUCAGGAAAUAAUGCGCAAUGUAAGAAACAAUAUUUCACUUUCUCGUCCUUUAAGUGAUCGAAGCUAAAUUUCAAACGCUCUAUCACUUUAGCUUCCACUCCCUCCACUUUUUCUACUGUCUCUUUCAAUUCCCUGAGUGCGUUUUUCCAAAUAAGGGGUUUCUCUUCUCCUUUCAAUGUACUAGCUACAACAACAAUUAUAAGAGGCAGACCCGCACAUUCUUCGACAACAAGCCUCAAAAAUUGGCAUUAAAGUUCGAUUUUGCACUAUGUUAGGCCCAACUUUACUCAAGAAUAGUGUCAAUGCCUGUUGUGCUGAAAGGGGCUUCACUUUUAUCACCGUGCAAUCCAUAUACUUACAGACAUGCUCCGAACGGGUUGUCAACACCAACUUACAGCCAUUGCUGUCACUCGGCUCAGGGAUCCCAACUUCUUCUAGAGAGACUUCAUCCCACACAUCAUCUAGGAUUAGAACAUGCUUUCCUACUUUCUUCAGCAUUUCUGACAAGAUUGCAGCUCGUCUGAGCUUGUCUCCUUCUAUGGCCAAAUCUUCCUUCAACUUCAAAGCACUUGCAAUAUCAUCUUGUACCUUCAUUACACUGGACUCCUUUGAUAUGGCAUCCCAGACUACUCUUUCGAAUCUUUGUUCUUUCAAAAUAUCAUUGUGGAUGUGCUUCAUGAUCGUGGUUUUACCCACACCGCCCAUCCCCCAAACCCCAAUCUUUUUUACCUCCUCUUGCAUCAAACAUGCCCAAAUCUCUUUUCUGGCAGCUUCCUCCCCAACUAGUUCUGAUGUUGGCAGUGGCAACCCACCACUUGGACCAUCCAUGGCAAGAGCUUCAGAGGCAUUAGGAGCUUUAUCAAGAAAUUCCUUCAUUUCUCGAGUCUUUUCAUCAACCAGCUUUUCGUUCCAAGCACGACAGAGAUAUCUCCCGUUUCUGACUUUAAUUUCUACAUCCUGUGCUUCCGCAAUCAUCUCUUUCGCAUCUUUCAACCAAUUUUCAACUCCCUGCUUUGGUAUCUUCCCCCCAGGAGAAAGAAGCUCUGCUUUCAAUUGCCGCUCUAUGUCUGCCAUUUUACAAUUCAAUUCAUCUCUGAUCCUUCCGAAGUUUCUCACAUAAUCAUUCAGCUUUCUGUGAUAUUUCAAGUAUUUACAAAGAGGAGGUCCAAGACAAUUUGCAAUGCCAACACCGGGCUCUACGUAUUCCAUUUGCUCUGGCCCUGCAACGCAAUCAUAUAUGUUAGUGUAUUGGAUUUUUGAAUAAUUUUUUAUAUGUUAGUGUAAGCAUGAAAAGGAAUCAUAAAUGCAAUGGCCUUUAUUAGAUGGAGCUAUGGAUAGGUGGCAGACAGAAACAGGAUGAAAAUCAUUGCCUUAUUACCUGACUUAGUGGCUGAAAUGUGUUGAGAGAUUAGAACUGAAAAUGAAGCAGUGAAGUUGACUUCCUUGACUAUCUUACAAAGCUAGCAGAUAAUAAAAAACAAUCAUUGCAUAGUCAUGGAUGAAGCAAAUGAAAGAAAAUUACCUUUGACGGGAUGCUUGAAAUUUGGUGAUAGACCUUGGAGAUGAAAACAAAUUAAAAACAGUGAAGAAGAAAGAAUGUUGUGGGCAGAAAGGCAGAACUAUUAAGCAAAGAAAAGCAUGUAAUGAAAUAAGCAAAUGAAAGAAAAGUAGGUAGAGUGGAUGGUUGAAAUCAGUAGAGGAAAUCAUUGCCUUAUUACCUGACUUAGUGGCUGAAAUGUGUUGAGAGAUUAGAACUGAAAAUGAAGCAGUGAAGUUGACUUCCUUGACUAUCUUACAAAGCUAGCAGAUAAUAAAAAACAAUCAUUGCAUAGUCAUGGAUGAAGCAAAUGAAAGAAAAUUACCUUUGACGGGAUGCUUGAAAUUUGGUGAUAGACCUUGGAGAUGAAAACAAAUUAAAAACAGUGAAGAAGAAAGACUGUUGUGGGCUGAAAGGCAGAACCAUUAAGCAAAGAAAAGCAUAUGUAAUGAAAUAAGCAAAUGAAAGCAAAGUAGGUUGAAAUUUUGUGAAAGAAGAAAGUGUUGCGGAAGCGACGAUAAUAUUAAUAACAAUAUUAUCAGAAAUAUUUAGAUAAUUAUUAUGCCAACAAUUAUACUAAGAAAAUUCCCAGUUAAAUUGGAGGGGUCACAAAUGGUCCCGCUUAAAACCCAACAACUAGACAGAACUCACUUAGAUAUUUAUAGCAAUAAUAACUAAAUAAAUAUAACCAACAUAAAGCUAUUAAAUAUAAGCAAACAAAUAAGAAAUAAAAUACCAGAGAUUUAACGAGGUUCGGCCAAUUUAGCUUACAUCCUCGGACACUACCAAAUUAAUAUUUCUUCUAGAAAUAUUACAAAGGAGAAGAUUUUGGGAUGAUACAACCAAAGGGGGAGGGGUUCUAUAUAUAACAAACCAAGCCCCCUCCCUUUCUAUCUUUUCCUAAUGUGGGAUAUUGCCAAUAUUCAACAAAUCUCCACCUUGGCGAUAUUCCACAUCUUCGAACAUCUUCUCAUAACACUAACUUCAAUAGUGUCUUCAAAUUUGCAACCAAUCGCCUUCUUCCCUUUUGGUAGUUGUGCCAGCUUCCACGUCUUGUUUUUCUCUAGAGAUUGCAUUUCCUCUUCCAUUGCACCUAACCAUCUAUUAUUCUCUAAACUCUGAAUGGCUUUGGUGUGAGUGGAUGGAAUAUUAUCAACAACUGGAAGUGCAUAAGCUACCAUGUCAGUGAAACGAGCAGGUUUCUGAAUUUCUCGUCUCUGCCUUCUGACUGCAAUUGGCUCUGAUUGCUAUUGAGGUUCUUGGGUAGAAACCUCUUCCUCAUCUGACUCUGCAUCUGCCAAUGAAGAAUCACUAGUGGUACCUUCUGCUGGAAUUACCACACUCUGCUCAAACUCCACCUGCUGCGGAGUACACUCCACCUGCUGCGAAGUACUACUCACUCCUUCUGGAUUUACCUUAUUCAACAUGGCAGAUUCAUGAAAGGUAACAUCCCUACUGAUUAUCGUCUUCUUUGCCUCUAGACACCACAAACGAUAUCCCUUAACACCAGCAUUGAAGCCCAUGAAUAGAGCCUUCUUUGCUCUUGGAUCUAACUUUGAUUCUUUCACAUGAUAAUAUGCAAUAGAACCAAAAAUGCGCAAGGUGUCAUAAUCAGUAGCAGGUUUUCCAUACCAUUUCUCCAAAGGAGUCUUGCCAUUUAUAGCAGAUGAUGGCAAAUGAUUGAUGAGAUGUUGAGCGUACGUCACAGCCUCAGCCCAAAACUUUCUAUCUAAUCCAGCAUUAGAUAACAUACAUCGAACUUUCUCCACAAGCGUUCGAUUCAUACGCUCUGCCACCCCAUUCUGUUGCGGUGUUCCACCUACGGUGAAGUGCCUUACUAUGCCACAAUCUUGGCAUAUCUUCAGGAAUAGAUCGCUUUUAUAUUCUCCACCGUUGUCUGAUCGGAGAACCUUAAUCUUCCUUCCUGUCUGAUUUUCAACUUUAGUUUUCCACUUAAGGAAAACUUCAAGCACCUCAUCUUUGUUCUUCAUAGGAAACACCCAAACUCGUCUGGAAAAAUCAUCAAUAAAGGUGACAAAAUAACGUCUUCCUCCAAGUGAUGGAGUCUUGGACGGUCCCCAUACAUCAGAAUGCACAUAAUCCAGAAUACCUUUAGUAUUGUGAAUCCCAGUGCCAAAUUUCACCCUUCGUUGUUUUCCCAGAACACAAUGCUCGCAAAAUUCAAGUUUGCAAGUCUUUGUACCUUUCAAUAAUCCUUGCUUGGCUAGAGUUUGCAAGGAUUUUUCACCAGCAUGGCCCAAACGCAUAUGCCACAGCUGUGUUGCCUCAGCGUCCUUCUUGGUACUCGAAAUUGCUGCUGCUGUUGUCCCGACCACUGUACUACCUUGGUAGUAAUACAGAUUGUUCUUUCUUAUGCCUUUCAACAUCACCAAUGCUCCUGAAGUUGCUUUAAGAACUCCAUCUCGUAUUGUCACAACUAGGCCUUUAGAUUCUAACGACCCCAAAGAGAUGAGAUUCUUCUUCAACUUUGGGACAUAUCGUACAUCCCGCAAAAUUCUAGUAGAUCCAUCAUGACUCCUCAAUUUAAUUGAACCUAUCCCGGCUAUUUUACAUGUGUUAUCAUUACCCAUGUAAACAACCCCUUCAUCUAGUUUUUGAAAUUCAAAGAACCAUUCCCGAAUGGGACACAUAUGAUAGGAACAACCAGAAUCCAUGAUCCACUCAUCUGCAUAUAAUGUUGAAGAUGUCAUACUAAGAGAAAAGUCUGACUCUGCUUCACUAUUGCAUUCUGCAACAUUUGCAUCUUGCGGAGUCUUCCCUUUUUUCUUCAAUUUUGGACAAUCUUUCUUCCAAUGUCCUUUUUCUUUGCAAAAGGAACAUUCAUCUUUGGCAACAGCUCGACCUUUGGACUUUCUUCUCUUCCCAUUAGACUGACUUUGCUGACGACCUCUUGUUACCAAUGCUUCCACUGCUGCUUCACCUGAACCUUUCAACUUAUCCUUUCGGCGUAGUUCAUAGCUAUACAAUGCAGCAGUUACUUCAUUGAAAGUUACUUCCGAUUUUCCAUGAAGUAGAGUAGUUUCAAGGUACUCAAACUCCUCAGGAAGCGAUCCCAACAACAUUAACGCCAAGUCUUCGUCUUCAAAAGUCACAUCCAAAUUCAACAAAUCAGCCACCAGCUGAUUAAAAUUGGUAAUGUGCUCGUUCAUCGUGGUACCAGGAACAUAAUUGAAACGAAACAGUCUUUUCUUCAUAUGCAACUUAUUUUGACUGUUCUUCUUCAAGAAUUUCUCCUCCAAUGCUUUCCACAAUUUACUUGCAGAAGUCUCUUUACUGAAUGUAUACUUCUGCUCUCUGGAAAGACAUGAUCGAAUUGUACCACAUGCCAAUCGGUUGAUGGUCUUCCAUUCUUUAUCAUCAACCCCUUCUGGUUUUUCUUCCUCAAUGGCAAUAUCUAGACCCUGUUGAAAGAGGGCAUCUAGAAGCUCACUUUGCCACAUGCCAAAAUGACCUGUUCCAUCAAAAAUUUCCACUACAAAUCUCGUAUUUGCAGUUCCAAUCCUCGGCAAAAUGUACGAAGUGGAAGUUGUUGAUAUGGAUGGUUUUUCUUCUGUCAUUUUUGCCAUAGCUUCUACUUAAUAGCCACCAAAUGCAGAAUACCCACAAGCUUUAGGAAAUGUUUCUGAUGUGUAAGAUCAGACUAAGCUGCAAACACAGAGCAUACUACAAAACCUUGGCUCGGAUACCAAUUGUUGCGGAAGCGACGAUAAUAUUAAUAACAAUAUUAUCAGAAAUAUUUAGAUAAUUAUUAUGCCAACAAUUAUACUAAGAAAAUUCCCAGUUAAAUUGGAGGGGUCACAAAUGGUCCCGCUUAAAACCCAACAACUAGACAGAACUCACUUAGAUAUUUAUAGCAAUAAUAACUAAAUAAAUAUAACCAACAUAAAGCUAUUAAAUAUAAGCAAACAAAUAAGAAAUAAAAUACCAGAGAUUUAACGAGGUUCGGCCAAUUUAGCUUACGUCCUCGGACACUACCAAAUUAAUAUUUCUUCUAGAAAUAUUACAAAGGAGAAGAUUUUGGGAUGAUACAACCAAAGGGGGAGGGGUUCUAUAUAUAACAAACCAAGCCCCCUCCCUUUCUAUCUUUUCCUAAUGUGGGAUAUUGCCAAUAUUCAACAGAAAGAAUGUUGUGGGUACAAAGGCAGAAGUAUUAAGUAAGGAAUCCCAUCUUUUUUUACUUUUCCUUUGCUUCUGCCCUGAUUUACAAUUUGAUUCUUCUUUAAAUCUGUAUAAAUCACUAAUCUGCCAUGUCCUUUCCAUUCAUUCUGGACAUUACUAACAAGUUUUGAAGUCAUCUUGGUGCUCAAUUGUAACAACAACAUCAGCAGCAGCAGCAGCAUAAUAAUGGGAAAGUAUGGUCUAAGAAUGCCUAAUUAUAUGUUACAACUUGAAAUAAAUAUUUAGUUACGUACAUAUAAAUUCCUUCAUAAGUUACACUUUUAAAUCCAAAUUGUGGUUUAUUGAUUGGGUGUUCCCUAUUAGAAAUAGCCGAAAUUCAAAUUAUCAUUGUACCCAAAUUUGAAAUUGUUUUAAAAUUUUAGAAUAUUAUAAAAUUUAAAAGUAAAUAACAGUAGAUAAACAUUUCAAAAAUAGAGAAAAUGAGGGAAAAACAUUUCAAUAUUUUUUUUUCUACAAUUUUUAUAUACAUUUUUCUAUUUUAUAAAUAAUUUUGAGUUUUUUUUAUAAUCUUUAUACAAAAUUAAGAUCAAAUUGAUAGAAAAUAUAAAAAUUGAGAGCAAUAAUUAUUAUUAUACCAAUUGAAACAAAUUCCAAUUAACAGUUGGGUGACAAAAAAAAAAUUCAAAAACAUUAGUGAUGAAAUUGUAAUUUUUUUAGUUAAGUGAUAAAAAUAAAAAAACUUACCCAUAAUUGGAUCACUAAUGGUCUAAUUUACCCUAAAUUCUUUUAAAAUUUUUAGUUUAAAACUUUUUUUUAUAAAUACUAUGUAUUAAGCCUUUUAUGUUAGUGCCGCUAUCAAUCAAAUCACAACUCAAUAAGAAAGUUAUCAAAAAACUAUUUUAUUUGAAAAGUAAAAUAUAUGAUUAUGAGAAUGUUUUCGUCUUUUUAUACUUUUAUAAAUUAAUAAAAAAAAUUAUCCAUAAUGAGAUUUGAACUAAUGACAUUCACUUGAAACUUUAAUAAUUAUAUCUAUGUUCUAAAUUUUUAUUUAUUUGUGUAUAUAAAAAAUGUUGUUGAUUUAGUGUCACAAAUGAACACGGCACCAACUCAGAAUUGAAAACAAAACAAUGAUAAUCAAUUGUAUUCAUUUAGUAUUUUUAAUCUGAUGUGUUUUUUUUGUUGUUUAGAUUUCGUUUUACUCACAAUUUAUUCUAAUUUUUAUUUUAAUAUAGUGCAUAUUUUAUAUGGUAUUAUUAAUUAGUUCCAAAUUUGAUAGCAAGUUACUUUAAUAUAUUUAAUAUACCCAAUUUUGGUAAACUUUUUAAUAGAAUUCUACUAAACUUGUGAUUUAUUGCCCAAAUUUUAUCAUGGACACAAUUGGAGUGCCGAAGUUCAAAAACAAACAAAUUGAGCUAAAUUGGAACAAAAAACAAGUUGGGGAGCUGAAUUGAAAGUUGCAAAAUUAAUUUUGGGAUGAUAAAAAAUAUUAGAUUUUUUACUUUGACUAAUUCUAUAUUUAGAAAAAUUUGAUUUAGUGGUUGCUUGUUAAGCAUAAUUCUAAGAGUAAAAUGAUGUGAAAUUGAUUCUUUGAGAUCCGUAUAUAAAGGUUUUUAAUUGUGGCACGAAUACACACUUUGAAUUUAAAAAGACAGUUUAGCACAUUCUUGCGUCUAUUGCAUUUGAAGCAAUCUGCCAUUGUUUUUCUCUUUUUAUGUUUUGGUGCAAUUUCCCUUUUAGUUCUCUCCUUUCUUCACCUAUUAUCUUUCAUUAAAAUUCACUCUCAUAAUCCAAUCAAGUAUGAUUAAUUCAUGUUCAACCAAUCUUCGUUUAGCUUUAGACCGGUUAUCAUUUCGACCAAGAAACAUGAGAAAUGAACCCACGCUAAAACCUUACAAUACGGUAUUCAUUAUCUUUCCGUAAUAUGAGAAAGUUACAAUUAUCCCUUAAAGUUAAUUCAAUUUCAACUCAAAAAGUGUGGAUUUGAGUUGCUUGGUGUACAGUUAAGAAAAUGAGUUGUUAUUCUCUUUGUCAAUUUGAUGUUGAUAAUAUAUAAAUUGGUAAAAAAAUUAAAAUUAUUUUUAAAAUUUUAUAAAAUUAUAAAAUUAAAAAUUAAAUAAAAAUAGAUUAAAAAUUCAAAAAUAAAUAAAGUGAGAGAAAAUUAGGGGUAAUUGUUUUUAAACCCUCCAAUAUUUCUCUAUAUUAUCUGUAUCAAAAUAUUCAAUACCCAUUAUUUUAAAAAAAACAUAGAAAAGAAAAACAUUAAUCAAAAUUAUUUGAUCUCUGUUUUUUACUUCUUCUGUUUCUUGACAUAACUUUUACGUUGUAAGCAAAGAUAAAUUUCUGAAUAUAAUUUAUUUUUACAAUUUGGGUUUUGAAAAAUAAUUUAUAGGUAAUGAAAUUUUGAAUUGAGUUUGAAAAAAAAUUUGUGGUAUAUUUUGUAUUCUUCUAAAUAAAAAAAUGGCAUUAGGGUCAAUUUUAUAAGCCUCAAAAAAUAUCAAAUCUAGAUGUCAUUUAAGACCAUGAAACUCAACUUGAUAAUAGUAAUGAUUUGAUUUCAAGAAAUAUUGAGGAAUCAUGUAAUGAUCUAACUCUUUUUUUUUGGGGGGUUUUGUUCUCUUUUUAAUUUGUUAUCGAAUUCUAUUCUCCAUCUUCUAAUAUUCCUAGAUUGUUUUAUGAGAAAUUACUGUAGAAGUUCUUUAUAGAAAUUGGUAUUCUUGCUAUGCUCCAUUCAAUGCUCAGUGAAUUAUUUUUGUCAGUGCAAAACAUUGACAAUCAUUAGGUUUCAUUGUAUCCUCAAGGUCAAUUUGCGAGUAACUCUUCUGCACAACAAUAAAUAAUUGGGGGCGAAUAGAACUUUAAAAUAGUAGCAUCAUAAAACCUUUUUUAAUUUCUCUGAAAUUCAUUUUUAUCACCAAUAGCAAUUAUGGGAACAAUAAUCAAAGAAAACAAACAAUAUUAUGAGUCAAUUUUUAUGGUGUUCAGGGCAACUUUCGUUUUUAAGUUCCACAAAGGUAAAGUAAAUUCCAUCUUUUCUUAUUAUUAGUUUUUUCCUUUGCAGUAUUCCAUUAUUGUUGGCACUAUUGUUCUCUACAAUGAUUCUAAAAUAUAAUAUUUAUAAUUAAUCAUAUGUAUCUAAAUUAGAGCAAAUAGCAGUCUUAUGAUUUACAUUAAUGCAACAUUUCAUGUUGCCUCUGAUUCCAAUUCUUUUAGUCCCCUCCAUGUUCCACCUUCAAGAAAAAACAAGAGAGAAUGAACCUAAAUUUGGAUACCUAAUCCUUCCUCUAUGAAAUCAGAGUUACCUUCAGAUUUUAAUUCCAAUACCGACAUUGUAACGCCCUGAUUAUUUAACUUUAUUUCUGUGAAUUUUUUCACAAAUAUGUGUCUACUUCAGUGGCUAAGUGUUUUGAUUGUGUUUGAUGUUUUGGGUUCAAGUCCCAUUUUUUGAAAUUUUUGCUAUUUGUGAUUCUAGCCUAUUCCUUGGCGGUUUGACUUAUAUUCUAUUGCUAGUCAGAUCAUAUUAGAAUGAGCUUGCUGGUUUGAGUGGUAAGGUGUUAACUUGCCCUGAGGUCUUGUGUUCAAAUAUUUGUAUGAUUGUGAAUGAUAAUUUUUGUUGCAGGUGUCUGAUAGGGGUUCAGUAGAGUUUAAAUUCUGAGGUAGUUGGAUGUGGAUGGAAGUGUCGGAUUUGAUGAGAUGAGUGGGGAGUUGGGGGAAAUUAGUGAUAUUUUAUUAAAAAUUUAAUUUUAAUUUUAAUUUUCUUUUCACAAAAAAAUCUCCUAUCUUACUAUUUUAUUUUUAGUUUUAUUUUAUUCAAAAUAUCCAUUAAAACCAUUUUAAGAAAUUGAAGUUACCAUAUUAAAAUUUAAUAUACAAAAUCAAGUUAUGUAAAUUUUCAAAGCAUUUCGUGUUGUUUAAGGAUUCUAAUUUUAUUGUGUAAAAAUCAGAACUUAUUUGCAAAAGUUUCAAAAUAUGCCCAAAACUCUCUGAUCACCGUGUCGCGACCUCAUGAUUCCCAUGUUGCAACAUCGACCCAAUAUCAGUAUCACGAUAUGGACUUGAAAACUUGCAGGAAAAUUUCAGUACUUGGGUUGGACACUUUCACACCCUCGUACACAUACCAAAUCGAGAUUUCAUGCUAUUCUCCCUAUUUUAACAUGUCAUAUAACUUACAUUAACAUGUUUUGACGUCUCAAGUAAAUUGCUAUUCUAUCAUUCAACCCUAAAGUCACAAUUCAAUUACUCAAAAUGUAAUUUUUGUAUUUUAAGCAUUUCUAAGUGUAUAAUUGAUACAUAAAAUACUAUAUGGUCAUUUUGGACUUACCUCAAUACGCAACAAGCCAGUCCAGCAGCAAUUUACAUGUUAGCCAAUAAACAAGUACACAACACCUUACUAAUUCAACCAAUAACAUGCAUUCUCAAAUCUUCCAUUGAAACCGUUCAUUCGAACCAAUUUUAAAAGUUCUAAAAACCAUUUUAAACAACCCAUAUUGUCCAUUAAUAAAUCAUUAACAGUUCAAAGUCUAAAACCCUCUAGAUUAGUCCCACAUUGCCUUCCUUAUUGAUUUAAAAACACACCAAACGUAGUCAAGUUAAAUUGUCUUGCUUUGGAUCACUUGGCAGCUCACUUCUCCUCCUCGUUUCAGCUAUAUCUCUGCACUGUUAAAUAUAAAAGAGUGUGAGCUUUUUCAAGCUCAGUGAGUGCUUAGAGAUUGCCACAAGUAAUCACAAUAUCCAAAGUUAGAAGAAAGCAUACAAUCACAAUUAAUCACGGUAAGCAAUAAAGCAUAAUUCAUAGCAUUCACAUUAAUAUGUUGCCAGAAUGUGAUUAUGAAGCAUAUGUACAAAAUAUAUUGCAUUGGGUAACCAGAUUUCCAAAUACAACCAAUAUAAUGUGUAGCGUAAAGCUAUCACCCUCCAAACACAUCCACUUAAACAUGUAUACUUAUUGUUUUAUGCACACUUUCACAUAUCACACAACUCAUGUUCAUAUCACAUAUUCAAGUCUCAUAUCAUGCACUUACAAGUGCUCACAUUAUGCUCAAAUAGUCACAACAUAUAGAUCUCAUAUAGUGUAUAUAAAAUCAGCAAGACUCAUAUCAUAUUCAGUCAUCAACACAUAACAUUUUUUAUUGUCAUCUCAAUUUACAACACAUAACAUAUCACAUUUAAGCAUCAAUUGCAAAUCAUCAUUAGUUUAGGUAGAAACACUUACUAUUGAAAAUUGGACGGUGUGGAUAUGUUUGGAUAGCUAGAAAAUCAUUAAGGGUGAGUUAAUUUUGAGAGAAAAUAUUAGAGUUGAAUUUGGGGAAAUUUUGAAUGUGAAAUUCAAUGGAGGGAAGGGACGUCGGGUUCUUAAAGAAAUGGGGAAGAUGAGUAGUUUUUUUUUUUUUAAAUAAGGAAAAAUUGCAUUUUAAAAACUUCCAGUUUUCCUUUAUUUUUCAAUUCAGACCUUAGUUUAAUUAAAACGCAUUUUUCUCAAUUAUUUUCAAAUCCGAUAUUUUUAAAAGGUCCAUUUUAACCAAAUUAAUUCCCGAAUACCCAAUUUUAAUUUCUUAACAUAAAAUUAUUAAUUAUAUUAAUUUUAAUACUUUAUUUAAUUAAUUCCUAAUUAUUUUAAUGAUCUAACUUAAUUAUGAUUUUUGAUUCACUAACCCCGAUUUACUAUCUCGAUUUUUGGGAUGCGACAUGACAGCAUUAUGUAAAUAUGAUAUAAUAAUAAUUACUGAUAGCAUACAAAUAAAUUGUUGAUUACAUACCCUAUUGUAUAAACUAAAAUAUAAUUAUACUACAAGUUCUAUAAUAUGAUAUCUAAUGGGUUAAUUUUUAAAAUUGCAUAUUUUAAAAUUAAAAAAAAAUAUAAAAAUGUUAAUUUAUAAUUAUUCCUAACUUAUAUGCUUUUCAAUGUUACAACUUUUAUUAGAAUUAUUAGUAAAAAAAUGCAUAAAUGAUUGAUAGCAUAAUCAUUUUAAAGACAAAUAAUUAUAAAUUAAUUAUAUAAAAGUAAGUGAUAACAUUUUGUACUUUGUUAAUAUAAAAAAGGGUAAACACUUAAUAACAUAGUAAUAAAUAAUUUAUAAUACAUGAAUAAAUAAUAAAGAAAUAAUAUAGUAUAAAAUUAAAUAAUUAAUAAUACAAUAUAGUAAUAAAAUUUAUAAAUAUCAUUAUUUUUAAUGCCUAAUCGUAUAUACAUCAUUUUAAUUAAUAAAAAUUUAUAAUAUUGUAAAUAAUACCAUGAUGAUAGUUUUUUCUCACCUUAAAUUAUUUUGAUUAAAAUAUGUUGUUUUUAGACAUUAAAUACGUGAUUUCCAAGGUAUAUGCGUGUGAUAAAAUUUUUAGUAUUAUUUUAACCUUUCAGACAAUAAAAUUUUUAAUUAUUAGACUCUUGAUAUACUCUUAAAAACAAUCUACAUUUUUUUCUAAAUCUAGACCCAUUUUUGGCCUAGCUCGGUCAAUCCAAAAAAUAACUCAUUUUCCUGUUCAAAAAUAAUAAAAUAAUUUUAUAUUAAUAUUUUUAUAUUUAAAUAUAAAUUUAUAAAUAUUUUUACUUUAAAAUUUGAAGCGAAUAUAUAUUAUUAUAUAAAAUUUGAAAUUUAUUAAAAUUUACGAAAUAAUAGAUUAGUGUUAAAUGUGAUAAAAGGUCAUAAUAAUAUCAAAAUAAGUUUAUAACUUAAAUGUUUUAAUUAUAAAUAUGAAAAUUUAGAAGGUUAUUUUGGGAAGUGUAUAUAUAUAUAUUAGAGAAGAGAGAGAAUAGGAGGAACGGUAAGAGAGGGAAAAUAUUUAAAAAGUGAAAGUUUGAUUUCUUAUUUACCUUUGCCUCUCAGCCUCCAUGCUCUUCCAUCAUUCCUUUUCUCCUCUCUUUUGCACUAUCCUGCCCCCUACUUCUUUCCAACAACCCUACUUCCAUCAUUCCAUCUUUCUCUUCAACAUCAUCACAAAUAUACAUCAAAUUUUAUUAAUAUGGAGAAAUUAGAUUUAUCAAAAAAAAAAACCAUAAAUGGUUCAUACCUCUUAUCCUCGACGGGGGAUUAAAGCGAAGAACAUUUUUAUAGUUUGGAUGGUCAUCCCACUCCAACGAUUCCCACCAUUCUUUCCAUGACCUGAUGGUAAGAGAAGGUGGAGCAUAUGCAAAUGGCUGCCCAUUGCCAACAAGGGGAACAAAUGGAGGAAUUCUCUUCAGUUUAUCACAUCUAAUAAUAUGGAUAAGUUGGAGAGAAUCACAAACCAUCACUCCGCUUUUGCUGCAAAUGCUCUUCAAAUUUGGUAAUACACUGAACGACAAUUUUCUCAAUUUGGGAAGAUGGAAUUUGAUUAAUGCAUCACUCCCUUUUUCUUCAACUUCUGAUGUUUCUGCUCCCAAUAUUUCUACUAACUCAUCACAAUGAUCCACUGACAUUUCUUCCAGGUUUUGGAGGUUUGGAAGCAACCAAUGUGGAAGCAACAUCUUCAUACUUGAGCAGCUGUAUAUCGUAAUUUCCUUAAGAUGGGAAAAGCUGGCAGACGGAGCCACUGUUGAUGUUGUUGCUGAACCAAUUCCUGCAUCUUUUAUAAUAAGGGCACUCAACUUUGGCAGAUCUCCAAGAUCUAACACCUCGAGGCUCUGAAAUGGAUGAGCGGAAGAAGAGACAAAAGAGGACGGGGAAGCAACACACUCUAUCCCUUCACACCCCCAAAUACUACAAACCCUCAAGUCAAUCGCAUUUUUGAAGGAAGAAUUAUCAUCGACUAAGUUUCUCGAAUAGUCGCACUUUAAAAUAUUCAACUCUUGAAUUUCAAUUGGGUACAUAAUUAACUCACCUUCCCAAUUGUCGACUCCUCCAAUUGCUACUGUUUUAUCUCUUGUAGGAGGCAUAAAAGAUGGGCCCAGCUGUAAAGAGGACCUGAUGAAAGAUGAGCCCACCUGUAAAGAGUACUUGAUGAGAUUUUUCUUACUUUGUUGCAUUGAGGAGAUGAACUUAUUGAAUUCACUGAUGUCUUCGAAAUGUCCGGUUAAGCACUCCAACUUCUUCAGUGGUUCCAUCUCCUCUGCUUUUAGACUAAUUUGUUUAUCAAAACCCAAGUGCUGAAGGUGAAUGAGUUUUGGUAAAAGUCCAGCGGGUAUCUCUUUCAGAGUGCGCACUUGAAGAUCAAGAUAUCUUAGCUUUAUCAACAUAUCCAUUCCUUCAGGGACUUCCUCAAUUUUAGUCCCAGAAAGAUCCAACUUCUUCAAUUCUUGAAGCAUCGAAAGACAUGGUAGGUCUCUUAAAUCAUAACAACCACGAAGCAACAAUGUUGUGAGGUUCUUUAGUUCAGAGAUGGAAUUUGGUAAACUUUUGAUCUUCGUAGAGGACAAAUUGAGAACACUAAGACAGGGCAUGUUUGUGAAGAAAGAAUAUGGGAUCUUCUUUAUAGGGUUACCCUGCAAUAACAAGGUUGAGAGCAGUUGACAUUUUGUGGGCUGCACAUCUAUGGAAAUUUCUGAUAUGGAGUUAUACAUAAGUGACACUCUCUCAAUAUCCGGACUCCAUUGCUCCUUUUCUGGUAACUCUUCUAAUUGCAAACCUGCUUGUAUCAUAUAUCGAGGAUUCAUUCUUGUGAUCGACAAUGCCAUGUCUCUCACUGCAUCAUGCAUUUUCACGGUUACACUCGAGACAUUUUCCAACAAGCAAUUAUCUUCUAAUUUCUUCAAAAUAACAUGACCCUUAUCUUUCAUUUCUUGUCUUGUACUCAUAUCAUCUAUGAAUCCCUCAUCAAUCCAGCACUCAAUUAGCCCAUUCUUCCAAAUUUGACAAUCUUCAGGAUAUAAUGCGCAAUGUAAGAAACAAUGCUUCAUUUUCUCUUCUUUUAAGUGAUUGAAGCUAACUUUCAUACUCUCGAUCACUUUAUCUUCCCCUUCUUUCACUUUCCCUAUUCUCUCUUUCAAUUCCCUGAGUGUGUUUUUCCAAAUAAGAGGGUCAUCUUCUCCUCUCAAUGUACCAGAUAUGACGACAAUUGUAAGAGGCAGACCUGCACAUUCCUUGACAACCAGCUUCAAAGUUGGCAUUAAAGUUUGAUUUUGCACUAUGUUAGGUCCAACUUCACUCAAGAAUAGUAUUGGAAAUUGGCCAACCAUGCUGCUGUUACAUUUUGUGGUUGAAGUGCAUGCAGCUUGAUGACAUGCUGCAGCACAUAUGCUUGCUGUAACAGCAAGGUUUCUCUUUAGUUUCAUUCUAAUUAAUCUAGUUUAAAAUGGACAAGUUGAUGACAACUUGAUGCAUUAGGUGUUGAAUGACUAGUUUAGGUGGCUUGUUUAUGUGUACAAGCAAUGUUUUAAUAGUCCCAAUGCUGAUUAGUGGGGUUAGUUGACUAUUUGGUGAUGUAUUUGACUAUAAAUGUAUGUUUUUUCUAGUUGAAUGAAUGAGCUGAAUGAGCUAUCAGCCAUUAGCUCCCUUGCUGCACAUUUGUGAGCAAGUAAAAAUGCUUCUUGCACCUUGCUUCAUGUUCUGUGCUCUUGUUCUCUCUUUUGUUGCUGCCUCUUGCACCAACAAAUAGUAUCAAUGCCUCUUCUUCUGAAAGGGGCUUCACUUUUAUCACCUUACAGCCCAUAGACUUACAAACUUGCUCCACACGGGUUGUCAACACCAACUUGUACCCAUUGCUGCUACUUGGCUUAGGGAUCCCAAUUUCUUCCAACAAGACUUCACUCCACACAUCAUCUAGGAUUAGAACAUGUUUUCCUGCUCUCUUCAGCAUUUCGGACAAGAUUGCUGCUCGUCUGACCUUGUUUGCCUCUUUGGGAAUCUUUCCAUUCAAUGCACUUGCAAUAUCAUUUUGUAACUUCACAAUAUUGAACUCCUUUGAUAUAGUAACCCAAACCACCCUUUCAAAUCGCUGUUCUUUCAAAAGAUCAUUGUGAAUGUGCUUCAUGAUGGUCGAUUUACCCACGCCGCCCAUCCCCCAAACCCCAAUCUCGCUUACCUCCUCCUGCAUCAAACAUGCCCAAAUCUCUUUUCUGACAGCUUCCUGUCCAACUAGUUCUGAUGUUUCCAGUGGCAACCCAGCACUUGGACCAUCCAUGGCAAGACCUUCAGAGGCAUUAGGAGCUUUAUCAAGAAAUCCCUUCAUUUCUCGAGUCUUUUCAUCAACCAGCUUCCCGUUGCAAGCACGACAGAGAUAUCUCCCGUUCCUGACUUUGUUUUCAACAACUUGUGCUUCCGUAAUCAUCUCUUUCACAUCUUUCAACCAAUUUUCAACUCCCUUCUUCGGUAUCUUCCCCAGAGGACGAAGAAGCUCUGCUUUCAGUUGCAGCUCUAUAUCUUCCAUUUUGCAAUUCAAUUCAUCUGUGAUCCUCUUGAAGUUUCUCACAUAAUCGUUCAGCUUUCUGUGAUAUUGCAAAUAUUUACAAAAAGGAGGUCCGAGACAAUUUGCAAUGCCGACAACAGGCUCUACGUACUCCAUUGCUAUGUCCCUGCAAUGCAAUCAUAUAUAACAGUAGCAGAGAAUGAAAAUUUGUGAAUGAAUUGGAUAUUUUAUGAAGUAUUGAUAUGUCAGUGUAAGCAUGAAAAGGAAAACAUGAAUGCAAGUUCCAAGCAAUGGCGUUUAUUAGAUGGAGCUAUGGAUGGGUGGCAGACAGAAACAUGAUGAAAUUCUGGUCACCAUUGUAUAUCCAGAAUCAACCUCUCAAACUAUAUAACAUGCUAGAUUCAAGUGUGCAAGAGUUCAUUACAUAAUAUUAAGAGGUAAAAUGUUCAACAGCAUGAGAUUUCAACAUUAUAUUGCUUCUGGGUAGCGCUUUUCGUAUUAAUUUGUAUCUGUAGUAGACUAUGUCUGCUGAUCAUCCUGUCUUAAAAUUGAUAAUCAGUAGAGGAAAUCAUUGCUUCAGAUCGUAUUACCUUGACUAUCUAACAAAGCAUAGCUUUUUUCGUAUUAAUUUGUAUCUAUAGUAGAUUAUGUCUGCUGAUCAUCCUGUCUUAAAAUCCAAAACUGUUGAUAAUCACUAGAGGAAACCAUUGCUUGAGAUCUUAUUACCUUGACAAUCUUACAAAGCUAGCUGCUAUAACAGUAGCUGAUAAUAAAAAAACAUUGUAUAGUCAUGAAUUAAGCAAAUGAAAGAAAACUACCUUGACUGGAUGCUUGAAAAUUAGUGAUAGACGUUGGAGAUCAAAAGAAAUUAAAAAGAGUGAAGAAGAAGGUGAAAACAGAAAUAAGCAAAAUUGUGAUAGGAAUUACUGGGAAAGUAUGUGAAGAAGAAGAAGAUAGAGAAAAUAAUUAAUAAUUAAUGGGAAAGCAUCAUUACAUGGAUAUGAGUAAGAAAUCCAUCUUUUUUUUUACUUUUUUCUUUGCUGUCACCCAUUAUAAUUGGCAUUAAAUAAUAAUAAUUAUAAUAAUUAGGCUUAAUGAUAAAUUUGAUCACUAACUUUUACUUGUUUUGUCAAAAUGACCCUAAUUCUAUUUUUGAACUUUUAUUUACCAUCUACCUUUGUUUCAAUAUUUCUUUUCUUUCAAAAAAUUUUCAAUCUUUCGUAUGUUUGUUUACUGAGAAGUUAUUCUACCGAGGUAAUUUUUUUUUUUAAAUAAUUACUCAGCAACAAUCGUAAGCGAAGGUUUUGGUAUGUGACUUCCCAAAUAAACCUUUGUUUUGCUUUUACCCUUCUUUGGGUUUGUUGAGAAAUUUUGUGUGAUUUUGUUGAUAUCAUUUUUCAGGUUAUGCAGCGAAUAGGUAAAGAUGAAUGGAUAAAUACUUCUGGGUUUCUUGUUUUCUUAAUUAGCGUUUAGGGUUUAAUUAAAAAAAUUGUGUUUUUGUUUAACAUUUUAUAGAAUCGACCCAGAAGAGAGUUUUGUCAAAGUAGUGAAGAAAUAUGGGCUUCCCCAAGAUGAAGGUGUAAAAUCCUUCAUUUCCAACCCGCCAGCCCAGCCUUCUGGUAAAAUGUUUUUGGAUAUUUUCUUAUAAUAAGAGUGUACAUUCUGGAAAUGUAUUGGGAAAAGAAAGGGUUGUGUUGGUUAUGAUGAGUAAGGCUACCAUGAGGUGCUGGAGAGGAGAGGUGGAAUUUUAGCAUUGAAACAGAUAGUGAGGGUAAUAGUUGAUCCUCUUCUGCUUUAAUGUUUUACUUGACACAUCAGUUAAUUUGAAACGUAGGAGAUUUUGCAGUGUGUCACGAGUACAGAGUGACAAAGAAAUUAUGAGAGAAGUACAGGCAAUCAUGGCACGAAUUGUUUCAACUAAUACUUACUUGUCAUGCCUUGAUGAACCAUGUAGAGCACUAUUUGAGUUCAAUUUUUUAAAAGCUUUCCCAUGCCCCAAUAUGUGUUAAUGAUGUAUGAUUUGUUAGGGAUGAUACAUUAGUUUUUAAAUAAUAUUUAAAGCAACAAUGUCGUGAGGUUCCUUAGUUCAGAGAUGGAAUUUGGUAAACUAUCGAUAUUCGUAGAGGACAAAUUGACACAAAGGUAAGGCAUCUUUCUGAAGAAAGAAUAUGGGAUCUUCUUUAUAGGGUUAUGCUGCAAUAACAAGGUUGUGAGCAGUUGACAUUUUUUGGGCAGCACAUCUAUAGGAAUUUCUAAUAUGGAGUUAAGCAUUAGCGACACUUUCUCAAUAUCCGGACUCCAUUGCUCCUUUUUUGGUAACUCUUCUAAUUCCAAGCCUGCUUGUAUCAUAUAUCGAGGAUUUGUACUUGUGAUCGACAAUGCCAUGCGUCUCACUGCAUCAUGCAUUUUCACUUUUGCACUCGAGACAUUUUCCAACAAGCAGUUAUCUUCCAACUUUUUCAAAAUAGUAAGGCCCUUAUCUUCCAUUUCUUGUCUUCUAUCCAUUUCAUCUAUGAAUCUCUCAUCAAUCCAACACUCGAUUAGUUCAUCCUUACUAAUUUCAAAAUCUUCAGGAUAUAAUGCACAAUACAAGAAGCAAGAUUUUACUUUCCCAUCUUUCAAGUGAUCAAACCUAAAUUUCAAAUGCUUGACUACCUCAGCUUCCACUUCUUCCACUUUCGCUAUUCUCUCUUUCAAUCCCUUGAAUGCAUUUUUCCAAAUGCGAGGGUCAUCUUCUCCUUUCAUGGUCCCAGCUACCACAACAAUUGGAAGAGGUAGACCCGCACAUUCGUUGACAACAAGCUUCAAAGUUGGCAUUAUAGUUGGAUUUUGAACUAUGUUAGGUCCAACUUUAUUCAAGAAUAGUAUCAAUGCCUCUUCUUCUGAAAGGGGCUUUACUUUUAUCACCUUUCAACCCAUAUACUUACGGACAUGCUCUGAAUGGGUUGUCAGCACCAACUUGCAGCCAUUGCGGCCACUCGGCUCGGGGAUCCCAACUUCCUCUGGAGAGACUUUAUCCCACACAUCAUCUUGGAUUAGAGCAUGUUUUCCAGCUCUCUUCAGCAUUUCCGAUAAGAUUGCUGCUCGUCUAACCUUGUUUCCUUCUUUGGCCAAAUCUUCCUUCAAGUUCAAGGCACUUGCAAUGUCAUCUUGUAACUUGAUAACAUUAAAAUCCUUUGAUAUAGUAACCCAGAUUACGCUUUCGAAUCUUUGUUCUUUCAAAAGAUCAUUGUGGAUGUGCUUCAUGAUAGUGGUUUUACCCACACCGCCCAUUCCCCAAACCCCAAUCUUGCUCACCACCUCCUGCAUCAAACAUAACCAAAUCUCAUCUCUCACAGCUUUCUCACCAACUAGUUCUGAUGUUUCCAGUCGCAACCCACCACUUGGACCAUCAAUGGCAAGACCUUCAGAGGCAUUAGGAGCUUUAUCAAGAAAUUCCUUCAUUUCUCGAGUCUUUUCGUCAACCAGCUUCCCGUAGCAAGCAAGACAGAGAUAUCUCCCGUUACUGACUUUGUUUUCAACAACUUGUGCUUCCCUAAUCAUCUCUUUCACAUCUUUCAACCAAUUUUCAACCCCCUUUUGGUAUCUUCCCGGGAGGCCGAAGCUCUGCUUUCAAUUGCAGCUCUAUAUCUUCCAUUUUGCAAUUCAAUUCAUCUCUGAUCCUCUUGAAGUUUCUCACAUAAUCAUUCAGCUUUCUGUGAUAUUGCAAGUAUUUACACACAGGAGUUCUGAGACAAUUUGCAAUGCCAAGAACAGGCUCUACGUACUCCAUUGCUAUGUCCCUGCAAAGCAAUCAUAUACAACAGUAGCAGAUAAUAAAAACCGUGAAUGUAUUGGAUUUUUUAUGAAGUUUAGAUAUGUCAGUGUAAGCAUGAAAAGGAAACAUGAAUGCAACUUUCAAGCAAUGGCAGACAGAAGCAUGAUGAAACUCUGGUCACCAUUGUAUAUCGUUUACCGAAUCAAUAAUUAAUAAAAAAAUUUAAAUCUAUAAAAUCAUUUAAUAAAACAACAACAACAACAACUUAAGGGUAGUCUUCUGCUUUCAUAUUUAUUUGCAAAUUAAUAUAAUAUAAUUACUUAUAAUUAUAAUGAAUUCAUUGGUAAUGCUUUUAUGGGUUGCCUACCGUUCAAUUAAGGGAUGGACUUUAGGUUUUGGCUCAUAGGCUUGGGUUUGGGUCUAAAAUUAGGCCAUGCCUUCACAUUUAGAAAAUAAUUUGUCUUUAUUUAUUUAUUAUUUCAUAUAGCAUUUGGUGGAGAUUUUUAAAUUUAUUAGAUUCUAAUGUAACAUGAAUUGAAUAUGAUUUGAAGUAUUUAAUAUUCAGUUCAUUUUUAAAUAUUUUAUUUUUAACAUAUAUUAAUUCAACUAUUAUAAUAGAAAAUGUUCAAAUUAUAAUUAAAUUAUUUUUAUCAUAUUCAACAUAUAAUAUAACUUUACUUUAUGUGAUUAAUGCAAAGUAACAUUACUCACAAUAAUAACUCUAUUUUAUAUCAAUAAAAUUAGCACAAACUUUUUUACGUCUAAAGUUUUUUAACUAAUAAUUGUAAUUAUUGAUUAUAAUUAUAAUUGUAAUGAUCAUAUUUUUUAUAUAUUAUAUGUUUAGUGUUUCAAGUAAUAACUCUAUUUUAAAAUUAGCGCAACUUUUUAACUAAAAAUUGUAAUUAUUUUUAAAUGUGUAAUUAUCACGACUUCUAUUUUAAUUCAAUUUUUUAUUUUUAAAUAUAUUUUUUUAAUAUGAUGAAAAACAAAAAAAUAUUCUCCUCUAUUAAAAACAAUUUCUAAACUCGUGAUUUUAUAUUAUUUAUAUAUAAGCGUGUUAAAUAUUUUUUAUAUGGAUUUUAUUUCUUUUAAAGGCAUCAAUUUAAAAUAUUUGGUGAUUUCUUAUGACAUGUUCAUCAUAUAUGUAUUUAAAAGUAAACAUUUAUUUAUUCAAAAAUUUCUAAUACUUUUUUUCAUGAUUAUAAAUUUAAAUCUUAACAUUUAUUUAUUUUUUGUAAAUUUGACCUUUAUUCUUUUUUUUAGUAAGCUUUCAAAAAAAAAUCAAAUUUAUUUUUUCCUAAUGAAAAUGCUGACUAAAAUAUUAAUUUUUAACAAUGUGGUGUGGCAAACCGCAUGACAGUACAUGUGUAUUUCAUGUUGACAUAGCAUAUGUCACAUCAAUAAAUAAUUUAAAAAUUAUAAAAAUAUACAAAAACAAAAAUUUCAAAUUUCAAAAUUCAAAAAAUAUAUAUAUAAGGUUCAUGAAAAUUUUUAAAAAUAGCAUAAAGUACACGUGAAUUGCUAUACGGGCUAUCAUGUUUAAAAUUUUAACAUUUUAGGUAGUAUUUCCAUUAAAAAAUAACAAUUCGACUCUUUUUGAAAUGUUAAUAAUCAAAAUUGACUCUUUUUAAAAGGAAGAAUGCCAAAUUUAGCUUUUUAAAAAAAAAAGAAUAAGAGUCAAAUUGAAAAAAAUAUAAACGUUAAAUAUUAACAUAAUUUUAAAAGUUUUUGUUCCUACAAUUAGUUAUCAUAAAACAUUUAAACAUGUUCAUUAUUCCAUAAAUAAAUCUUGAUUAAGUCUUUAUACUUUAUAUUUAUCUAAAAUUUUUAAUUUUUUUUUUAUAAAUCACAAAGUGUCCUUGUCCAUUUUACAAUUUGGAUAUAGACUGUUCGGGUUGGGAGUGGUAUUCAAGUAAUUUGUAGCGUGAAGUGCAAUUAGAGAUUCAUUUCAUUUUUUUGGGCUAUCCAGAUUAAUAUUUUCAUUUAGAAUGAUUUAUGGUUGGCUUGGUUGAACCGAUAAAAUGAAGCAUCCAGGCUCCGUUUAAAAAAAAAAUCCAAUUGGUAAUACAUUUAUGAUUACCACACCUAUAUCAUAAUCAUAAAUCUUUUUUAUGACAAGUUCUAAAUAGAAAUAAGAAUGAUUUCAAACUACUAAUCAAUCAAAUAAUACUACUAAUCAAUCAAAUAAUAUAAGAAAUACGUUGAAUAUCUUGUGGAAAACAUGAAAGAAAAAGGAAUUAAAUUAAAAUAAAAAAGGAAAUGAAAUCAUAGCAAAAAGAUGUGGUAUUGGGUCAUUUGUCUUAUAUUCGCAAAUCAAAAUCUGGCGAAUCUUUAUUCGGAGUAGAGCAUAAACCUAAAAAAAUUGAAUAAAAAAUUGAUGGAAUCCAUCCAGGAACAAGAAAAUGACAUUGAGAUUUGGAUUGAAUCCCAAUGAAAAAAAUAGAUCAAUGAAAAGUUUGUACGAUAAAUUUAGCGAAUUUUUUUCUAUAUGAAUUUUUUUCUAUAUUAUAGAUUAUAGGAAAACGAGCCAAAACUUAGCUUUCUUUAAUUUCAUUUUGAAUUUCAGUUUAUUUAAAAAAUGUAAGAAAAAGUCCCUUCAUCAAAAAUUAAAAGUUAGAAAAGGCACACUAGAAAAAACUAAGGAUGGCUGGAAUCUACACUUUGAUUUUUUUUUUCACAAUUUUUAUUGAAUCGUAUGCAUCAAAAGAUGCCUGUACAGCUACUAAGAGAUACAAUUUUAUCCUAAUCAACUAACUUUAUCGAUAAAAAUUACUUUUUUUAGGCCUAGAGUUUGAUAGCGAGAUCUCGAGUCAACAUAUUGGCGUCUUAUGGUAUAUCUUAGUAUAGAGAACGAUACCAAAGAUCUAUAUUUGUUUAUAAACUCUCCUGGUGGAUAGGUAAUACCCAGAGUAGCUAUUUAUGAUACUAUGCAAUUUGUGCAACCAGAUGUGCAUAGAAUGUGCAUGGGAUUGGCUGCUUCAAUGGGAUUGUUUCUGCUGGUCGGAGGAAAAAUUACCAAACGUCUAGCAUUCCCUCACGCUCAGUGCCAAUGAGUUCUUUAUGUGAUGAAAAGGAAAAAUAAGUUUAUACCUUUGACAUAUAAAAUAUGAAAUAGUAAGUAAUAAUAUCUUGGCACUUCGAAUUCGAUAUGAAAUUUUUAUUUUUUUUCAAAAUAAUAAAUUAUGUAUCAAAAGAGUAGUAUGAGAGAAAGGGCAUUUCCAAUUUUAUCUUAGCUGUCGUGGGCUCAUCUGAGCGUCACAAACCUUUUUUUUUCUUCUCACACCAAAGGCUAUUAACAAUAUUUAUGUUAUAAAUAAAAGAGUAUAAAAAAAAGACUAUUUCUUUCUUUCUUUCUUUCUUCAAAAAAAAUAAAAAGAAAUUUUGGGAUUGUUGAAUCAUAGACGAAAUAAAUAUAUAAAGCAACGGAGCCAUCAUAGUAUUUUUGAACUUGUCCGAAUAAAAAAAGAAGGGUAGUAAUUGGAUUAUUUAGUGAUCUGGGUCUAAUAGACGCUCUCUAUAUUUUCUCUUUUUCUUUUUUCGAUGAAAGAAAAAAAGAGAAUUCCAUCGUAAAGUCGUAUGUAAUGCGCAAAAUAUGCUUUCAAUCACUUUAGCGGUUCAGCUGAUUGGAUACCUAAUCUGCCAUGAAAUUUCAAAUUUGUUCUUGAACAAUCUGAAUUUCCUUCAGAUGUUAUCCCUUAGAUUCCCUUGGAUAAUUGAAUUUUAAUUCCGAUACCUGACGUCGUUAUAAAAUCCUUCAUCAUAGUAUAGUAAGUUGAUGUUUUGGUUCUUAAGAUUGGUAACAUAAGCUGAUUAUGUCUGCAAUGACUCCCUUUCGAUUGCGGGCAAAUGCAUCCGAUAAACUGAGCUUGGAUUUUUCGACUUGAGAAGAAGGCUGUGACAAGCCAUCACUGAACCCUACCUUCCCAUAGCAACCCUUCUUCUUCUUGGUCAUCUUCCCUGUCAUUGUCAAGUUCUUGAGCUAUGAAAUCCUUAUUUAUGGCAGCUCUGAAACCUGCAGCUUCCAUUGCAGGAGAAGGAGAUAUAAAUAAUGGAGAGUGGUACUGAAAUGUUGAAAUCAGAGUAAGAUGGAAGUGGAAAAAGUCGAAGGACCACAAGCUAACAUUAAUUUGUCUCACGUUUUUUCUUUAUGCAGUUUAGGAUUUAAUCCAAAAAGAAACAGAUGUAAGAUAACAUUAAUUUAAUAAAUCCUAGCAGUCAACUACCUAUACCUAUACCUAAAUUCUUAAUUAACUAUUAGUGUUGUUAAGUUAUCGGAUAAUUACUUCCUCUCAUCUUAAAUAAAAAAAAAAUCAUUAUCUCCAGUUUUUUUUUUUUUCAUUUAGUUUAAAUCAUUCUCUGUUUUUCAAAAAUCUGAGGUAAAAUCAGAUCUUACAUGUGUCGUGGACGAGAACUAUUUGGUUGUAUUUUUCUUAUAAAAAUUGUGGUAAUUUACAAAUAUUUAGAAUUGUGUUGGGGCACUGCAAUUGUUCAUUAGUGUUUAAAUUAUUAUAACGUUGAAGGUAAAGCAAUCGUUUGAAAUCAAGCUAAUCUCAGAGGCGAUAGAAACUAUUUAAGACUACGCUAAUGUAAUAAAGCGAGCUAUUGUUCGAUAAAUGAUCUUUAGUGAAUUGGAAAUGAACCCUUGCUGGAAGGGUGCCUUUACUGUGAAUAAAUGCCUUUAUGAGUCAUACCGUGGAUUGUACUACUGAACUGAAUCCAAGUCUUGACUUAAAUUUUUUUUAUUGGUAUAUUGAUGGAUAGUGCUUUCGUCUGGCUUAUAUGAACUUUACUUUGUAGUUUGAUGGAUGGUAGUCAUUGACUUGACAAUAUACAAUGACUAAUGAGAUUUUUGAAAUUCAUGCCUUUUUAACUUUUUUAAGGCAAUAGUGUUUUUAUUCAUAGUUGACUUGUAUAAAUUUCACUUUGUGAUUUAGUGAGUAGUGUGUCUAUUGGCCCAACAAUCGAGGAAUAUAUAAUGCAUAUUAUCACGAGUUGUAUAGUUGUUGAUUGAAUGAUCUAGAGUUAUAUUUUUGGAGAUACAUAUGUCUCACUUUUGUAGAGAGCUACUAAAUGGUUCACAAAGGGGCCCUACUGUCGUUUUUUGGAGAUAUGCUUCAUCUCUAUGGAGAGUGAUUAAACGGUUUAUGGGGGGCUUGAUUGUCAAUUUUUGGUGUUAUGCCUCACCUCUAUGGAGAGCUGUUGGACAGUUCAUGAAGGGCCUUGACUGCUAAUUUUUGGAGAUAUGUCUCACCUUCGUGGAAAGUCGUAGAACGGUUCACUGAAAGACCCAACUAUCAAUUUUUGGAGAUAUGUUUCACCUCCAAGAAGAGCCAUUGAAUGGUUCACGGAGGGGCCCAAAGGUGCCUAAAUAUGAAAAGUUGAGAAAUCUAAAAGACUGCUAAACUAAAAUUUGAAUUUCAAAGUUUGAUAACUAAAAUAUAACUUCUUGAAAACUUAAUGGUUAAAAUUAUAGUUUAUCUUUUUUUUAAUUUAAAAAUAAUAAAAAUGUACAAUGCUAUGUAAUGUAUAAGAUGACAUGGCAAUUUCACAAGUUAUUGACAAGUGUUUGGUAUUGCCAUGUCAUCUUAGUCACUAACUAUUGGGUGGCUAAUCAUUAGUAUUGAUGUCUAAAUAUAUAAUUUUAAUAUUUGGGUCAUCAAAUUCAAAUAUAUAAAAUAGGCAACUUUAUGUAAAUAUGAUAUAAUAGUAAUGACUAUAGCAUAAAAAUAAUUUAUUGAUUACAAUCCCUAUUUUAUAAACUAAAAUAUAAUUGUACUACAAGUUCUAUAAUUAUAAAUAGUUAAUUUAUAAUUUUAUAUUAUUUAAAUUAAAUUCGAGUUGGACCAACUCGAGAUAUGGUGAGGUCUGUAGUCAACUUGUAUUCCAUAUUAUUUACUUUAAAAGUGGAAGCGUAUAUAAAUUUACGAAAUAAUAGACUAGUGUUGAAUGUAAUAAAAGACCAUAAUAAUAUUUGAUUCGAUAUCAUAUCAAAAUAAGUUUAUAACUUAAAUGUUUUAAUUGUAAAUAUGAAUAUAUAGAAGGUUAUUUUGGGAAUUACAUAUAUAUUUUAAAAGAAAUAAAGUUAAUUUUAAGAGAAGAAAAAGAAAAUAGAAGGAAUGAUAAGAGAGGGAAAAUGUUUAAAAAGUGGAGGCAGUUUGAUUUCUUGUUUACCUUUGCCUCUUAACCUCUUCCUUCCAUCAUUCCUUUUCUCCUCUCUUUUGCACUAUCCUUCUUUCCCACCUACACUUUCAUCUUUCUCUUCAACAUCAUCACAAUUAUACUUCCAAUUUUAUUCAUAUUGAGAAAUUAGAUUUAUCAAUAUGAAAAAAUAAAGUAUACCAUACACGGUACAUACACAUACCUCUUAUCAGGUCGAAGCGAAGAACAUUUUUAAAGUUUGGAUGGUCAUCCCACUCUAACGAUUCCCACCAUUCUGUGUUUGACGUGAUGGUAAGAGAAGGUGGAGCAUAUGCAAAUGGCUGCCCAUUGUUGAAGUAAUGGUCAGCAUGCAGCAACCAAGACUGUCAAAGGCACUACAUGCAGAAGCUGCUGGUUCACCUAGUCAGCAAGCUGUUUAUGUUUCAUUUUGUAAUUUUAAGUUAGAGUAAUGUAACUUAGUUGCUUUAUAACUAUGUUAGGUUUAUGUUUGAUGUAAUUUUGAUGUUGACUGAGCUGAUAAAUCAGCUUUGUUUGUUUAUUCAAGCUAAUUAGCACAAGUUACUAUGUGUAUUAGUGGUAGUAGGUGAAGUUUAGGUCAACCUACUGUUUUGUCAAGAUUGUAAACUUGUUUUAUGUAUUGGCUUUAUGCCAUAUUUAGUAUGAUGAAUGAAUUCAAGAAGUUAUCAUCCAUAUGCUCUCCAUUUUUAGUUUUUCUUAAAAAUCCAUUUGAGUUUUCUGCUUUGUUUCUCCUACAAGUCACGAGACUUGUCAUACAAGCAUUCUGCUGAAGCUUGCUGCUGCUGCCUCUUGCUCCAACAAUUGGUAUCUAGAGCCACAUUCUUAGAGGACCUGUUGUAGUUCAGUAUCAAAACGAUGGCAUCAUCAGGUUUUUCACCAGCUUCACCACCUAUCUUCAAUGGAGAGGGCUUCAACAUUUGGGCAGUUAAGAUGAGGACUUACCUGCAGGCAUUCGACCUAUGGGAAGUUGUUAACUCAGAUGCUGAGCCAGCACCUCUUCGAGCUAAUCCAACAGUUGCUCAAAUAAGGCAACACACUGAUGAAAGGACAAAAAGGCACAAGGCCAUGUCAUGCAUACAGAAUUGUGUGACAGAUGUGAUCUUUAUGAGGAUCAUGGCCUGUGAGACACCAAAGGAGGCUUGGGACAAGCUGAAAGAAGAAUUUCAAGGGACUGAGAAAACAAGGCAACAACAGCUGCUCAAUUUGAGAAGAGAUUUCGAAAAUCUCAAAAUGAAAGAGGAAGAAACAGUUAAGCAGUACUCAGACCGGAUUAUGGCUGUUGUAAACAGCAUAAGGCUCCUAGGAGAGCAAUUCAGUGAAGCUAGAAUGGUUGAGAAAGUCAUGUCCACUCUACCAGAGAGGUAUGAAGCUAAAAUUUCAUCCCUCGAAGACUCAAGGGACUUGACAACUAUCUCCUUAACUGAGCUAAUCAAUGCCUUGUAUGCACAAGAGCAAAGAAGAGCUAGCAGACAAGAGGAGCACCAGGAAGGGGCUUUUCAAGCCAAAGAAGCCUCGAGCAUCAAAACUCAUAAAGGCAAAAAGUUCUGGAAAAACAGGCCUAAGCCUGAUGCUGCUAAGAGCAGUGACCAACUCUGCAUACAUUGUAAAAGAGCUGGUCAUCCAGAAGAUAGAUGCUGGUUUAGACCAGAUGCAGUAUGCCAACACUGCAAGAAAAAAGGCCAUGUUGAAAAGGUUUGCAAGAAUAGAAGCAAACCAAGACAGAAUCAAUUUCAGCAACAAAAGGUGGAAGCUCGAGUAGCUGAAGAAAGCAGUGAUCAAGAAGAACAUGUUUUUGCUGUGUCAUGUGCAGCAAAUCAGAAGAAGGGUUCAAAGGGCUGGCUUUUAGACAGUGGGUGCACAAACCACAUGUCACCAGAUGCAACUAUCUUCAAAACCCUGGACAGAACCUGCAAAACCAAAGUAAAAAUUGGAAAUGGUCAGUUAAUCAAUACUGAAGGAAGAUGAGAUGUGCUGAUUCAUACUUCUACAGGUGGCAAAAUCAUUUCAAAUGUACUUUUGGUACCUGAAAUCGAUAGGAACCUUCUCAGUAUAACUCAACUACUUGAGAAAGGUUACUCAGUUGUUUUCAAGGAGAAAGAAUGUCAAAUUUUUGAUCCAAGUGGAUCAAAUCUUAUAACAGUCACCAUGACUGAUAAAUGUUUUGAAGUAGACUGGCCAAAUGACUCACAUUCAGCCUGCAUAGCCUCCACUGAUGACUCGAGACUCUGGCAUCAGAGGCUUGGACAUGCAAACUACAAAUCCAUAGCCCGCAUGGUCAAUGAAGGUCUGGCAGAAAAUUUCAUUGAUUCAGUGAAGAAUGAUGAGCUUUAUGAGAUAUGUCAGCAAGGAAAAUUGGCAAGAUUGCCAUUUCCAACAAGCACAACAUGGAGAGCAUCAGAGAAGCUCCAGCUUGUGCAUACAGAUGUGUGUGGACCAAUGAAGACUGAGUCUCUCAAAGGAAGCAGGUACUUUAUUUUAUUUAUUGAUGACUUAACAAGAUACUGCUGGAUUUAUUUUCUAAAACAGAAAUCAGAAGUACCAUCUAUGUUCCUGAAGUAUAAGGCUGCUGUUGAAACUGAGUCUGGUUGCAAACUUAGAGCAAUGAGGUCAGAUAAUGGAACUGAGUACACCUCAGCUCAGUUCCAAGUCUACUGUGAAGAAGCAGGUAUCAAACACCAGUUGACUAAUGUGUAUACACCCCAACAGAAUGGGGUCAGUGAAAGGAAAAAUAGAAGCUUGAUGAACAUGGCAAGAUGUCUUCUGUUUGAGAAGAAUUUGCCCAAAAGUCUGUGGGCUGAAGCUGUUAACACAGCAGUUUAUCUCCAAAACAGGCUCCCAACCAAGGCUCUGGCUGAGAAGACUCCAUUUGAAGCCUGGUUUGGGUUUAAGCCAUCACUGGCUCAUCUCAGAACCUUUGGUUGUCUGUGCUAUACUCAAGUUCCAGCUGAGAAGAGAAGCAAGCUAGAUAAAAGAGCUCAAGCAGGGAUCCUGAUCGGCUACAGCUUGGUUAAGAAGGGCUACAGAAUUCUAGAACCUGCUACAAACAAGAUAUUGGUUAGCAGGGAUGUUUUCAAUGAAAAAGGACACUGGAAUUGGGAGAAGGCUGAACCAGAGGCAGUGGCUGAAGAUCUGGCAGUGGACCAAGUUGAAAAUGAUGAAAACACACCUGAAAUGGAUGUAGAUGAUGUUCCAAUCAGAGGCACUCGAUCACUGACUGAUGUUUAUGAAAGAGCACAAGUGGCUACUGUUGAACCAAGUUGCUUUGAAGAAGCAGAAAACCAGGAGGACUGGAAGCAAGCAAUGAUUGAAGAAAUCAGAAUGAUUGAAAAGAAUCAGACCUGGAGUCUGGUUGAUAAACCAACAAACAGGAAGAUUAUUGGUGUCAAAUGGGUUUAUCGAGUAAAGAACAAUGCUGAUGGUAGCCUAAACAAGUUAAAGGCUAGAUUGGUUGUGAAAGGCUUCAGUCAAAGGUAUGGAUCAGACUACCUGGAAACCUUUGCACCAGUGGCCAGGCUAGACACUAUUAGACUGCUAGUUGCCUUAGCAGCACAAAAACAGUGGCUGAUACACCAACUUGAUGUAAAAUCAGCAUUUCUGAAUGGAUUCCUUGAAGAGGAGAUUUAUGUGGAGCAACCUCAAGGUUUCAAGGUGUCUGGCAAAGAAGAUAUGGUGUACAAGCUCAACAAAGCCUUGUAUGGCUUGAAACAGGCUCCAAGGGCCUGGUAUAGCAGAAUAGAUGGCUAUCUGACCAGUCAAGGAUUUGAAAGAAGUCUUAGCGAGCCAACUCUGUAUGUUAAAUCAACUAGUGCUGAAACUCAGCUCAUUGUCUCAAUAUAUGUCGAUGACCUACUGGUGACAGGAGGAGAUCAUGAGAUGCUAAGCAGUUUUAAAGUCAAAAUGCAACAGCACUUUGAAAUGUCAGAUUUGGGAUUGAUGUCUUACUUCAUAGGCAUGGAAGUAACUCAAGCUAAGAAUGGGAUUUGGCUAAGUCAAAAGACCUUUGCUAUGAAGGUUCUCAACAAAUUCUCAAUGGAGAAUUGCAAAGCAACCAGCACACCAGUUGCUGUUGGAGAAAAACUCUCGAGCCAAGACAAGCAUGAAAAGGUUUGUGAAACAACCUAUCGAAGUCUAGUUGGAUGUUUGUUGUAUUUGACUGCUACUAGACCUGACAUAACGUAUGCUGUGAGUCUACUCUCGAGGUUUAUGCAUUGUUCAAAUGAAAGUCAUUUUAGAGCUGCAAAAAGGGUUCUAAGAUACAUCAAAGGAACUUUGUCCUAUGGAAUGCAGUUUACCAAGGCUGAGAACUUGAGGCUAGUUGGAUAUUGUGACAGUGAUUGGGCUGGUUCUUUGGAUGACAUGAAGAGCACUACAGGUUAUGCAUUCAACAUAGGCUCUGCUAUGAUAUGCUGGAGCUCAAAGAAGCAAGGAGUAGUGGCUCAGUCGACUGCAGAAGCAGAAUAUGUGGCUGCUGCUGCAGCAGUCAAUCAAGCCAUAUGGCUUAGAAAAAUUUUGAAAGAUAUCAAUCAUGAGCAAAAGGAAGCAACUGAGAUAAUGUGUGACAACCAAUCAGCAGUUGCUAUUGCAAAGAAUCCUGUUUUUCAUGGAAGGACCAAGCACUUCAACAUCAAACUUCAUGCAGUUCGGGAAAUGGAACAAGCUCAUGUUGUUAAGCUGAUACAUUGCAGUUCUGAAGAGCAAAUUGCUGAUAUUUUAACAAAAGCACUAAGUGUUUCCAAGUUUCAACACCUGAGAACUAAUAUGGGAGUUUGCAACAUGCUAACCAAGGAGGAGUGUUGAAGUAAUGGUCAGCAUGCAGCAACCAAGACUGUCAAAGGCACUACAUGCAGAAGCUGCUGGUUCACCUAGUCAGCAAGCUGUUUAUGUUUCAUUUUGUAAUUUUAAGUUAGAGUAAUGUAACUUAGUUGCUUUAUAACUAUGUUAGGUUUAUGUUUGAUGUAAUUUUGAUGUUGACUGAGCUGAAAAAUCAGCUUUGUUUGUUUAUUCAAGCUAAUUAGCACAAGUUACUAUGUGUAUUAGUGGUAGUAGGUGAAGUUUAGGUCAACCUACUGUUUUGUCAAGAUUGUAAACUUGUUUUAUGUAUUGGCUUUAUGCCAUAUUUAGUAUGAUGAAUGAAUUCAAGAAGUUAUCAUCCAUAUGCUCUCCAUUUUUAGUUUUGCUUAAAAAUCCAUUUGAGUUUUCCGCUUUGUUUCUCCUACAAGUCACGAGACUUGUCAUACAAGCAUUCUGCUGAAGCUUGCUGCUGCUGCCUCUUGCUCCAACACCCAUUGCCAACAAGGGGAACAAAUGGAGGAAUUCUCUUCAGUUUAUCACAUCUAAUAACAGCGAUUAACUUGAGAGAAUCACAAAUCAUCACUCCACUUUUGCUACAAAUGCUCUUCAAAUUUGGUAAUUUCCGGAAUGCCAACACUCUCAAUUUGGGAAGAUGGAAUUGGAUUAAUGCAUCACCCCUUUUUUCUUCAACUUCUGAUGUUGCUGCUCCCAAUAUUUCUACUAUCUCAUCACAUUCUGACACCCAAAUUUGUUCCAGGUUUUGGAGGUUUGGAAGCAACCAAUGUGGAAGCAACGUCUUCAUACUUGAGCAUCUCUGUACAUCAAUUUCCUUAAGAUGGGAAAAGGUGGUAGACGGAGCCAAUGUUGAUGUUGUUGCUGAACCAAUUCCUGCAUCUUUCAUAAUAAGGGCACUCAACUUUGGCAGAUCACGAAGAUCCAAUAUCUCGAGGCUCUGAAGUGGAUGAGCGGAAGAAGAGGCAAAAGCGGACAGGGAAACAACACACUCUAUCCCUUUACAAUCAUAAAUCCUCAAGUCAAUCGCAUUUUUCAAGGAAAAAUUAUCAUCGACUAAGUUUCUCAAAUAGUGGCACUUUACAAUGUUCAACUGUUGAAUUUCAAUUGGGUGCAUAAUUAAAUCACCUUCCCAAUUCUGGACUCCUCCAAUUGUUACUGUUUUAUCUCUUGCAGCAGGCAUAAUAGAUGAGCCCAUAUGUAAAUGGUACUUGAUGAGAUUUUUCUUACUUUUUUGCACUGAGGAGAUGAACUUAUUGAAUUCACUGAUGUAUUCGAAACGUCCGGUGAAGCAUUCCAACUUCUUCAAUGGUUCCAUCUCCUCUGCUUUUAGACUUGUUUUUUCAUUGACCACAUUAAAACUCAAGUGCUGAAGGUGAACGAGUUUUGGUAAAAGUCCAGCGGGUAUCUCUUUCAGAGUGCCCACUUGAAGAUCAAGAUAUCUUAGCUUUAUCAGCAUAUCCAUUCCUUCAGGGACUUCCUCAAUUUUAGUCCCACAAAGAUCCAACUUCUUCAAUUCUUGAAGCAUCGAAAGAUAUGGCAGAUCUCUUAUUUGAUAACAGCCACGAAGCAACAAUGUUGUGAGGUUCUUUAGUUCAGAGAUAGAAUUUGGUAAACUCUCGAUCUUUGUAAAAGACAAAUUGAGAACACUAAGACAAGGCAUGUUUGUGAAGAAAGAAAUUGAGAUAUUCUUUAUAGGGUUGUUCUGCAAUAACAAGGUUGUGAGCAGUUGACAUUUUGUGGGAAAUACAUCUAUGGAAAUUUCUGAUAUGGAGUUAUACAUAAGUGACACUUUCUCAAUAUCCGGACUCCAUUGCUCCUUUUCUGGUAACUCUUCUAAUUGCAAACCUGCUUUUAUCAUAUAUCGAGGAUUCAUUCUUGCGAUCGACAAUGCCAUCUCUCUCACUGCAUCAUGCAUCUUUAUGCAAGGUUGACCAAGUACAUUGGUAAUAUUUUCCAACAAGCAAUUCUCUUCUAACUUCUUCAAAAUAACAUGGCCCUUUUCUUCAUUUUCUUGUCUUGUAUCCAUAUCAUCUAUGAAUCCCUCGUCAAUCCAGCACUCAAUUAGUUUAUCCUUUUCAAUUUCAAAAUCUUCGGGAUAUAAUGCGCAAUGUAAGAAACAAGAUUUCACUUUCUCGUCCUUUAAGUGAUCGAAGCUAAAUUUCAAACGCUCUAUCACUUUAGCUUCCACUCCUUCCACUUUUUCUAUUCUUUCUUUCAAUUCCCUGAGUGCGUUUUUCCAAAUAAGAGGGUCCUCUUCUCCUUUCAAUGUACCAGCUACGACGACAAUUGUAAGAGGUAGACCCGCACAUUCCUUGACAAUAAGCUUCAGAGUAGGCAUUAUAGUUUGAUUUUGCACUAUGUUAGGCCCAACUUUACUCAAGAAUAGUGUCAAUGCCUGUUGUUCUGAAAGGGGCUUCACUUUUAUCACCGUGCAACCCAUAUACUUACAGACAUGCUCCGAACGGGUUGUCAACACCAACUUGCAGCCAUUGCUGUCACUCGGCUCAGGGAUCCCAACUUCUUCUAGAGAGACUUCAUCCCACACAUCAUCUAGGAUUAGAACAUGCUUUCCUACUUUCUUCAGCAUUUCUGACAAGAUUGCAGCUCGUCUGAGCUUGUCUCCUUCUAUGGCCAAAUCUUCCUUCAACUUCAAAGCACUUGCAAUAUCAUCUUGUACCUUCAUUACAUUGAACUCCUUUGAUAUGGUAACCCAGAUUACUGUUUCGAAUCUUUGUUCUUUCAAAAGAUCAUUGUGGAUGUGCUUCAUGAUCGUGGUUUUACCCACACCGCCCAUCCCCCAAACCCCAAUCUUUUUUACCACCUCUUGCAUCAAACAUGCCCGAAUCUCUUUUAUGGCAGCUUCCUCCCCAACUAGUUCUGAUGUUGGCAGUGGCAACCCACCACUUGGACCAUCCAUGGCAAGAGCUUCAGAGGCAUUAGGAGCUUUAUCAAGAAAUUCCUUCAUUUCUCGAGUUUUUUCAUCAGCCAGCUUCCCGUUGCAAGCACGACAGAGAUAACUCCCGUUACUGACUUUGUUUUCAACAACUUGUGCUUCCCUAAUCAUCUCUUUUACAGCUUUCAACCAAUUUUCAACUCCUUUCUUUGGUAUCUUCCCCUGAGGACGAAGAAGCUCUGCUUUCAAUUGCAGCUCUAUAUCUUCCAUUUUGCAAUUCAAUUCAUCUCUGAUCCUCUUGAAGUUAAUCACAUAAUCGUUCAGCUUUCUGUGAUAUUGCAAAUAUUUACAAACAGGAGGUCCAAGACAAUUUGCAAUGCCAACACCGGGCUCUACGUAUUCCAUUGCUCUGCCCCUGCAACGCAAUCAUAUAUGUUAGUGUAUAGGAUUUUUGAAUAAUUUUUUAUAUGUUAGUGUAAGCAUGAAAAGGAAGCAUAAAUGCAAUGGCGUUUAUUAGAUGGAGCUAUGGAUAGGUGGCAGACAGAAACAUGAUGAAAUUCUGGUCACCAGAGUUAACCUCUCAAUGUAUAUAAAAUGCUAGAUUCAAGUUUGCAACAGUUCAUUACGGAAUACUAAGAGCUAAAAUGUUCAACAGUCUGAGAUUUCUAUCUAUGAUAGAUUAUGUUUUCCGGUCAUCCUAUCCUGUCUUAAAAUCUAAAACUGUUGAUAAUCAGUAGAGGAAAUCAUUGCCUUAUUACCUGACUUAGUGGCUGAAAUGUGUUGAGAGAUUAGAACUGAAAAUGAAGCAGUGAAGUUGACUUCCUUGACUAUCUUACAAAGCUAACAGAUAAUAAAAAACAAUCAUUGCAUAGUCAUGAAUGAAGCAAGGAAAAGCAUGUCAUGAAUGAAGCAAAUGAAAGAAAAUUACCUUUGACGGAAUGCUUGAAAUUUGGUGAUAGACCUUGGAGAUCAAAACAAAAUAAAAACAGUGAAGAAGAAAGAAUGUUGUGGGUAGAAAGGCAGAACGAUUAAGCAAAGAAAAGCAUGUCAUGGAAGAAGCAAAUGAAAGGAAAGUAGGUAGAGUGGAUGGUUGAAAUUUUGUGAAAGAAGAAAGAAUGUUGUGGGUAGGAAGGCAGAAGUAUUAAGUAAGGAAUCCCAUCUUUUUGUACUUUUCCUUUGCUUCUGCCAUUGUAGUUGGCAUUUUGGGUAUUUGAUUCUCAGCAGUUGUGUCGAUCAGCUGAUUUACAAUUUGAUUCUUCUUUAAAUCUGUAAUAAUUCACUACUUGAUAAUAAAACCUCUAAUCUGCCAUGUCCUCUCCAUUCAUUCUGGACAUUACUAACAAGUUUUGCAGUCAUCUUGGUGCUUAAUUGUAACAACAUCAGCAGCAGCAGCAGCAUCAUAAUAAUGGGAAAGUAUGGUAUAAGAAUGCCUAAUUAUAUGUCACAACUUGAAAUUAAAUAUACUAGUCGGCAUCCUAUAAAAAAAAAAUUAAGCAAAAUCAUUUGUUUUCUGUUUUUUACCUCUUCUAUUUCUUGACAUAGCUUUUACAUUAUAAGAAAAGAUAAAAUUUUAUAUAAAAUUUAUUUUUACAAUUUGGUUUUUGAAAAAUAAUUUAAAUGUAAUGAAAUUUUGAAUUGAGUUUGAAAAAGAUAAUUUUUUGGUAUAUUUUGUAUUCUUUUUACUAAAAAAUGGCAUCCGGUUAAAUUUUAUAAGCCUCUGUAAUAUGAGUUCUAGAUGUUCUUCAAGGGCAUGAUACUCAACUUGAUAAUAUUACUAUUUUAGUUUCGAGAAACAUUGAGAAAGCAUGUAAUGAUUUAACUUGUUUUGGUUUUGUUUUGUUUUUAAUUUGUUAAUGGAUUCUAUUGAAUGGUAAUUUUCUUUAUUUUUCAUACAAUUUAGUUCUUCAGCAACAUAUUCAAGAUUUUAUUUUUCUACAAUUUUUAUAUACAUUUUUUAUUUUAUAAAUAAUUUUGAGUUUUUUUUAAUAAUCUUUAUAAAAAAUCAAGGUCAAAUUGAUAAAAAUAUAAAAAUUGAGAGCUAUAAUUAUUAUACCAAUUGAAACAAAUUCCACUUAACAGUUGGGUGAAAACAAAAUUUCAAAAACAUUAGUGACGAAAUUGUAAUUUUUUCUAGUUAAGUGAUAAAAAUAAAAACUUACCCAUAAUUGAAUCACUAAUGGUUUAAUUUACCCUAAAAUUCUUUUAAAAAUAGAAAAGAAAAACAUUAAGCAAAAUUAUUUGAUCUCUGUUUUUUACCUCUUCUGUUUCUUGACAUAACUUUUACAUUGUAAGAAAAGAUAAAAUUCUGAAUAUAAUUUACUUUUACAAUUUGGGUUUUGAAAAAUAAUUUAUAGGUAAUGAAAUUUUGAAUUGAGUUUGAAAAAAAAUUGUGGUAUAUUUUGUAUUCUUCUAAAUAAAAAAAAUAGCAUUAGGGUCAAUUUUAUAAGCCUCUAUAAUACCAAUUCUAGAUGUCGUUUAAGACCAUGAAACUCAACUUGAUAAUAGUAAUGAUUCGGUUUUGAGAAAUAUUGAGGAAUCAUGUAAUGUUCUAACUCUUUUUUUUUUUGGUUUUGUUCUCUUUUUAAUUUGUUAUCGAAAUCUAUUCUCCAUCUUCUAAUAUUCCUAGAUUGUUUUAUGAAAAAUUACUUCUUUAUAGAAAUCGGUAUUCUUGCUAUGCUCCAUUCAAUGCUCAGUGAAUUCUUUUUGUUAGUGCAAAACGUUGACAAUCAUUAGGUUUUAUUGUAUCCUCAAGGUCAAUUUAUGAGUAACUCUUUUGCACAGCAAUAAAUAGGUGGGAGUAAAUAGAACUUUAAAAUAGUGGUAUCGAUACACGUAUUGAAACCUUUUUUUAAUUUCUCAUAAAUUCAUUUGUAUCACCACACACUAACAAUAGCAGUUAUGGGAACAAUAAUCAAAGAAAAAAAGCAAUAUUAUGAGUCAAUUUUUAUGGUGUUCGGGGCAACUUUUAUUUUUAAGUUCCACAAAGGUAAAGUAAAUUCCAUCUUUUCUUAUUAUUAGUUUUUUCCUUUGCUGUCUUCCAUUAUUGUUGGCCCCAUUCUUCUCUACUAUGAUUAUAAAAUAUAAUAUUUAUAAAUCAUAUGUAUCUAAAUUAGAGCAAAUAGCAGUCUUAUGAUUUAUAAUGCAACAUUUCAUGUUGCCUCAGAUUUCAAUUCUUUUAGUCUCCUCCAUGUUCCACCUUCAAGAAAAAACAAGAGAGAAUGAACCUAAAUUUGGAUACCUAAUCCUUCCUCUAUGGAAUCGGAGUUACCUUCAGAUUUUAAUUCCAAUACCGACAUUGUAACGCCCUGAUUAUUUAACUUUGUUUUUGUGAAUUUUAUCACAAAUAUGUAUUUGCUUCAAUGGCUAAGUGUUUUGAUUGUGUGUUUGAUGUCUUGAGUUCAAGUCCUAUUUUUAGAAAUUUUUGCUAUUUGUGAUCCUAGCCUAUUCAUUGGCGGUUUGGCUUAUAUUCUAUUGCAAGUCAAGUUAUAUUAGAAUGAGCUUCUAUGUUUGAGCAGUAAGGUGUUAGCUUGUCUUGAGGUCUUGUGUUCAAAACUCUGUAUAAAUGUGAAUUGGAUGUGGAUUGAAGUGUCGGAUUUGGUGGGAUUAGGUUGAUUAGUGGGUUAGUGGAGAGUUGGGGGAAAUUAGUGAUAUUUUAUUAAAAUUUUAUUUUUAAUUUUUUAAUUUUAAUUUUAUUCUUCUUUUCCGCAAAAAAUUUCCUCUCUUUCUAUUUUAUUUUAUUUUAUUUUAUUCAAAAUAUCCAGUAAAACUAUUUUAAGAAAUUGAAGUUACCAUAUUAAAAUUCAAUAUACAAAACAAAGUCAUGUAAAUUUUUAAAGCAUUUCAUGUUGUUUAAGGCUUCUAAUUUUAUUGUGUAAAAAUAAAAACCUAUUUGCAAAAGUUUCAAAAUAUGCCCAAAACUCUUUAAUUACCGUGUUGCGACCUCAUGAUUCCCAUGUGGCAACAUCGGCCCAAUAUCGGUAUUGCAAAUUUUCAAGUACUUGUGUUGGACACUUUGACACCCUCAUACACAUACCAAAUCGAGAUUUCAUGCUAUUCUCCCUAUUUUAACAUGUCAUAUAACUUACAUUAACAUGUUUUGACAUCUCAAGUAAAUGACUAUGCUGUCAUGCAACCCUAAAGUCACAAUUCAAUUACUCAAAAUGUAAAUUUUGUAUUUUAAGCAUUUCUAAGUGCAUAAUUGAUACAUAACAUACUAUAUGGUCAUUUUGGACUUACCUCAAUACGCAACAAGCCAAUCCACCUGCAAUUUACAUGUUAGCCAAUAAACAAGUACACAACACCUUACUAAUUCAACCAAUAACAUUCAUUCUCAAAUCUUCCAUUGAAAGCAUUCAUUCGAACCAAUUUUAAAAGUUCUAAAAACCAUUUUAAACAACCCAUAUUGUCCAUUAAUAAAUCAUUAACAGUUCAAAGUCUAAAACCCUCUAGAUUAGUCCCACAUUGCCUUCCUUAUUGAUUUAAAAACACACCAAACGUAGUCAAGUUAAAAUGUCUUGCUUUGGAUCACUUGGCAGCUCACUUCUCCUCCUCGUUUAAGCUAUAUCUCUGCACUGUUAAAUAUAAAAGAGUGUGAGCUUUUUCAAGCUCAGUGAGUGCUUAGAGAUUGCCACAAGUAAUCACGAUAUCCAAAGUUAAAAGAAAGCAUACAAUCACAAUUAAUCACGGUGAGCAAUGAAGCAUAAUUCAUAGCAUUCACAUUAAUAUGUUGCCAGAAUGUGAUUAUGAAGCAUAUGUACAAAAUAUAUUGCAUUGGGUAACCAGAUUUCCAAAUACAACCAAUAUAAUGUGUAGCGUAAAGCUAUCACCGUCCAAACACAUCCACUUAAACAUGUAUACUUAUUGUUUUAUGCACACUUUCACAUAUCACACAACUCAUGUUCAUAUCACAUAUUCAAGUCUCAUAUCAUGCACUUACAAGUGCUCACAUUAUGCUCAAAUAGUCACAACAUAUAGAUCUCAUAUAGUGUAUAUAAAAUCAGCAAGACUCAUAUCAUAUUCAGUUAUAAACACAUAACAUUUUUAUUGUCAUCUCAAUAUACAACACAUAACAUAUUACAUUUAAGCAUCAUUUGCAAAUCAUCAUUAGUUUAGGUAGAAACACUUACUCUUGAAAAUUGGACAGUAUGGAUGUGUUUGGAUAGCUAGAAAAUCAUUAAGGAUGAGUUAAUUUUGAGAGAAAAUAUUAGAGUUGAAUUUGGGGAAAUUUUGAUUGUGAAAUUCAAUAGAGGGAAGGAUCGUUGGGUUCAUAAAGAAACGGGGAAGAUGAGUAGCUUUUUUUUUUUUUAAAUAAGGAAAAAUUGCAAUUUAAAAACUUCCAGUUUUCCUUUAUUUUUCAAUUCAGACCUUAGUUUAAUUAAAAUACAUUUUUCUCAAUUAUUUUCAAACUCAAUAUUUUAAAAAAAUCCAUUUUAACAAAAUUAAUUCUCGAACACCCAAUUUUAAUUUCUUAACAUAAAAUUAUUAAUUAUAUUAAUUUUAAUAUUUUAUUUAAUUAAUUCCUAAUUAUUGUAAUAAUCUAACUUAAUUACGAUUUUCGAUUCAUUAACCCCCGAUUUACUAUCCCAAUUUUUGGGAUGUGACAUGACAACAUUAUGUAAAUAUGAUAUAAUAAUAAUCACUGCAAGUUCUAUAAUAUGAUAUCUAAUGGGUUAGUUUUUAAAAUUGCAUAUUUUAAAAUUAAAAAAUUAAAAAAAUGUUAAUUUAUAAUUAUUUCUAACUUAUAUGCUUUUCAAUGUUAAAACUUUUAUUAGAAUUAUUAGUAAAAAAAUGCAUAAAUGAUUGAUAGCAUAAUCAUUUUAAAGACAAAUAAUUAUAAAUUAAUUAUAUAAAAGAGAUAACAUUUUGUACUUUGUUAAUAUAAAAAGGGUAAACACUUCAUAACAUAGUAAAUUAUGGAUAAAAUAAUAAGAAAUAAUAUAGUAUAAAAUUAAAUAAUUAAUAAUAUAAUAUAAUAUAGUAAUAAAAUAUAUAAAUAUCAUUAUUUUUAAUGCCUAAUCGUAUAUACAUCAUUUUAAUUAAUAAAAAAAUUAUAAUAUUAUAAAUAAAACCAUGAUGAUAGUUUUGUUUCACCUUAAAUCAUUUUGAUUAAAAUAUGUUUAUAUUUUAUUAAUAUAUUAAUAAAAAUGGAAUAUAUUUUAAUUAAUACAUGAUCUUAUUUAUUAUUUAUUAUAUGUUAUUUUUAGACAUUAAAUACAUGACUUCCACACGCAUAUGCGUCUGAUAAGAUUUCUAGCGUUAUUUGAACCUUUCAGACAAUAAAAUUUUUAAUUAUUAGACUCUUGAUAUACUCUUAAAAACAAUCUACAUUUUUUUUUCUAAAUCUAGACCCAUUUUUGGCCUAGCUCGGUCAAUCCAAAAAAUAACUCAUUUUCCUGUUCAAAAAUAAUAAAAUAAUUUUAUAUUAAUAUUUUUAUAUUUAAAUAUAAAUUUAAAAAUAUUUUUAUUAUUUAAAUUGAAUUCGAGUUGUACCGUCUCAAGACAUGGAAGGGUCUAUAGCCAACUUCUAUACCAUAUAUAUAUUUUUUUACUUUUAAAAUUUGAAGCGAAUAUAUAUUAUUAUAUAAAAUUGAAAUUUAUAAAAAUUUACGAAAUAAUAUAUUAGUGUUAAAUGUGAUAAAAGAUCAUAAUAAUAUCAAAAUAAGUUUAUAACUUAAACGUUUUAAUUAUAAAUAUAAAAAUUUAGAAGAUUAUUUUGGGAAGUACAUAUAUAUAUAUAUAUAUAUGAGAAGAAAAAGAGAAUAGAAGAAAUGGUAAGAGAGGGAAAAUGUUUAAAAAGUGGAGGCAGUUUGAUUUCUUAUUUACCUUUGCUUCUUAACCUCUUCCUUCCAUCAUUCCUUUUCUCCUCUCUUUUGCACUAUCCUCCCCCCUCCACCAACCCUUUCAUCUUUCUCUUCGCCAACAUCAAAAAUAUACAUCAAAUUUUAUUAAUAUGGAGAAAUUAGAUUUAUCAAAAUAAAAAAAUAAACAAAACCAUAAAUGGUUCAUACCUCUUAUCCUCCUCAGGGGCUGAAGCGAAGAACAUUUUUAAAGUUUGGAUGGUCAUCCCACUCCAACGAUUCCCACCAUUCUAUGUCUGACCAGAUGGUAAGAAAAGGUGGAGCAUAUGCAAAUGGCUGCCCAUUGCCAACAAGGGGAACAAAUGGAGGAAUUCUCUUCAGUUUAUCACAAUAUUCAACAACUUGGAUAAGUUGGAGAGAAUCACAAACCAUCACUCCACUUUUGCUGCAUAUGCUCUUCAAAUUUGGUAAGUUAUUUAGUCUCAAUUCUCUCAAUUUGGGAAGAUGGAAUUUGAUUAAUGCAUCAUUCCCUUUUUCUUCAACUUCUGAUGUUGCUGCUACCAAUAUUUCUACUAGCUGACUACAAGCACCCACCCUAAUAUCUUCCAGGUUUUGGAGGUUUGGAAGCAACCAAUGUGGAAGCAACGUCUUCAUACUUGAGCACCUGUAUACUUCAAUUCGCUUAAGAUGGGAAAAGGUGGCAGACGGAGCCACUGUUGAUGUUGUUGCUGAACCAAUUCCUGAAUCUUUCAUAAUAAGGGCACUCAACUUUGGCAGAAAUUGAAGAUCCAACACCUCGAGGCUCUGAAAUGGAUGAGCGGAAGAAGAGGCAAAAGAGGACAAGGAAACAACACACUCUAUCCCUUCACAAUCAUAAAUCCUACAAACCCUCAAGUCAAUCGCAUUUUUGAAGGAAGAAUUAUCAUCGACUAAGUUUCUCAAAUAGUCGCACUUUAAAAUAUACAACUCUUUAAUUUUAAUUGGGUGCAUAAUUAACUCACCUUCCCAAUUCUGGACUCCUCCAAUUGUUACUGUUUUAUCUCUUCUACGAGGAAUAAAAGCUGGGCCCACCCUAUAUGAGCCCACUUGUAAAGAGUACUUGAUGAGAUUUUUUUUACUUUGUUGCAUUGACGAGAUGAACUUAUUCAAUUCCUUGAUGUCUUCGAAACGUCCGGUAAAACACUCCAACUUCUUCAAUGGUUCCAUCUGCUCUGCUUUUAGACUUAUUUGUCUAUUAAAACCCAAGUGCUGAAGGUGAACGAGUUUUGGCAAAAGUCCAGCGGGUAUCUCCUUCAGAGUGCGCACACUAAGAUCAAGAUAUCUUAGCUUUAGCAGCAUAUCUAUUCCUUCAGGGACUUCCUCAAUUUCUGUCCCAGAAAGAUCCAACUUCUUCAAUUCUUGAAGCAUGGAAAGACAUGGUAGAUCUCUUAAUUCAGAACAACCACAAAGCAACAAUGUUGUGAGGUUCUUUAGUUCAGAGAUGGAAUUUGGUAAACUUUUGAUCUUCGUAGAGGACAAAUUGAGAACACUAAGAUAAGGCAUGUUUAUGAAGAAAGAACUUGAGAUCUUCUUUAUAGGGUUCUCUUGCAAUAACAAGGUUGUGAGCAGUUGACAUUUUGUGGGCAGCACAUCUAUGGAAAUUUCUGAUAUGGAGUUAUUCAUAAGUGACACUUUCUCAAUAUCCCGACUCCAUCGCUCCUUUUCUGGUAAUUCUUCUAAUUGCAAACCUGCUUGUAUCAUAUAUCGAGGAUUCAUUCUUGUGAUCGACAAUGCCAUGUCUCUUACUGCAUCAUGCAUCUUUAUGCAAGGUUGACCACAUCCAUCGGUAAUAUUUUCCAGCAAGCAAUUCUCUGCUAACUUCUUCAAAACAACAUGGCCCUUUUCUUUCAUUUCUUGUCUCGUACCCAUAUCAUCUAUGAAUCCCUCCUCAAUCCAACACUCAAUUAGCUCAUCUUUUCCAAUUUCAUAAUCUUCAGGAUAUAAUGCGCAAUGUAAGAAACAAUAUUUCACUUUCUCGUCCUUUAAGUGAUUGAAGCUAAAUUUCAAACGCUCUAUCACUUUAGCUUCCACUUCUUCCUCUUUUUCUAUUCUCUCUUUCAAUUCCCUGAGUGCGUUUUUCCAAAUAAGAGGGUCCUCUUCUCCUUUCAAUGUACCAGCUACGACGACAAUUGUAAGAGGUAGACCCGCACAUUCCUUGACAACAAGCUUCAGAGUAGGCAUUAUAGUUGGACUUUGAACUAUGUUAGGUCCAGCUUUAUUCAAGAAUAGUAUCAAUGCCUCUUCUUCUGAAAGGGGCUUCACUUUUAUCACCUUACAACCCAUAUACUUACAGACAUGCUCCGAACGGGUUGUCAACACCAACUUGCAGCCAUUGCUACCACACGGCUCGGGGAUCCCAACUUCCUCUAGAGAGACUUUAUCCCACACAUCAUCUAGGAUUAGAACAUGCUUUCCUGCGUUCUUCAGCAUUUCUGACAAGAUUGCUGCUCGUCUGAGCUUGUCUCCUUCUCUGGGCCAAUCUUCCUUCAACUUCAAAGCAGCUGCAAUAUCAUCUUGUACCUUCAUGACAUUGAACUCCUUUGAUAUGGUAACCCAUAUUACCCUUUCGAAUCUUUGUUCUUUUAAAAGAUCAUUGUGGAUGUGCUUCAUGAUAGUGGUUUUACCCACACCGCCCAUCCCCCAAACCCCAAUCUUGCUCACCUCCUCCAGCAUCAAACAUGCCCAAAUCUCUUUUCUGACAGCUUCCUCUCCAACUAGUUCUGAUGUUGGCAGUGGCAACCCAGCACUUGGACCAUCCAUGGCAAGACCUUCAGAGGCAUUAGGAGCGUUAUCAAGAAAUUCCUUCAUUUCUCGAGUCUUUUCAUCAACCAGCUUCCCGUUGCAAGCACGACGGAGAUAUCUCCCGUUACCGACUUUGUUUUCAACAACUUGUGCUUCCCUAAUCAUCUCUUUCACAGCUUUCAACCAAUUUUCAACUCCCUUCUUCGGUAUCUUCCCUAGAGGACGAAGAAGCUCUGCUUUCAAUUGCAGCUCUAUAUCUUCCAUUUUGCAAUUCAACUCAUCUCUCAUUCUCUUGAAGUUUCUCACAUAAUCAUUGAGCUUUCUGUGAUAUUGCAAGUAUUUACAAGCAGGAGUUCCAAGACAAUUUGCAAUGCCGAGAACAGGCUCUACGUACUCCAUUGCUAUGUCCCUGCAACGCAAUCAUAUAUAACAGUAACAGAUAAUGAAAAUCUGUGAAUGUAUUGGCUUUUUGAUAUGUCAGUGUAAACAUUAAUGCAAGUUUCAAGCAAUGGCGUUUAUUAGAUGGAGCUAUGGAUGGGUGGCAGACAGAAACAUGAUGAAAUUUGUAUAUCCAGAAUUAACCUCUCAAUUAAUAGAAAAUGCUAGAUUCAAGUGUGCAACAGAAUAUGAAGAGGUAAAAUGUUCAAUAGUUUGAGAUUUCAACAUUAUAUUGCUUCUGGGAAGCUCUUUUUGUAUUAAUUUCUAUCUAGAGUAGAUUAUGUGUGCUGGUCAUCCACUCUUAAAAUCUAAAAUUGUUGAUAAUCAGUAGAGGAAAUCAUAGCUUCAGAUCUUAUUACCUGACUUAGUGGCUGAAAAGUGUUGAGAGAAUAGAACUGAAAUUGAAGCGGUGAAGUUGACUGUCGUACAAAGCUAGCUGCUAAGAGUAGCAGAUAAUCAGAAACAACCAUUGCAAAGUCAUGAAUGAAGCAAAGAAAAGCAUGUGAUGGAUUAAGCAAAUGAAAGAAAAUUAGCUUGAAAUUUGGUGAUAGACGUUGGACAUCAAAACAAAAUCAUUGUAGUUGUCAAGAAAUAAUAUUUAAUAAUAAUAGUUGGCAUGGUAUAAGAAUGCAUAAUUAUUAUGUAUAGUUAUUCGCACCCUAUUAGUAAAUUAUUUGCAUUGUUGAAGUUGUCAGAAUUCAAUUUUGGACAAUUUCUUACAUAUGGACAUUAGUAAGAUGUGAAUAAAUCUAUUUAAACUUUUUAUAUAAGUAAGUUUAUUCAACUUAAAAUAAAUUUUUAAUUACAUACAAAUUUCUCGAUAUGCUAUAUCAUUGAAUCUAAGUUGGUUUUAAAAUUAAUUUUUUUGUCAUUUGACUGUUGAGUGGUACUUUUUAAAUUGGUAUAAUAACAAUUUUAGUUUUUAAAUUUUAUACUUUCACUCAAUUUGAUCUUGAUAAUAUAUAAAAUAGAAAUAAGCAAAAGUGUAAUAGGUUCCACGAAGGCAGAAUUAUGAUUAAGAAAUCCCAUCUUUCUUUUAGUUUUUUUUUCCUUUGCUGUUCGCCAUUAUAGUUGGCAUUAAACUAUGGGAUACCCUCCUGUUGCUAUUUCAAUUUCAAUUUUUUAUUUUUGUAAUAAACAUAGACAUGCCUGGGAGGGGGUGUUGCACCUCUCGUGAGAUUCCCUUCAAUUGCUAGUUCAAUUUCUUUUUAUUUUUAUUUUUAUAAUAAACAUACACAUGCCUGGGAGGGGGUGUUGCACCCCAUGUGAUCGAGGGUUGCAAUAACGUUACUGCGAAUGUCUUACUUGAUAGUUACUGAGUGGUUGAUGAUAACCAAUUAAAACUCAAAACAUUCUAACAUUUCACAUCAUGCGCAUGUUGACAAUUAUUUUUUAUAAUUAAACUAUAAAAAUGCUUAUCUAUGCUUUUCAUUUUAUGUUGGUCAUCCAACUAUUAAUUUUUUUCGAUUUAGUCAUUAAACUUUUCGGAAUUAAAUAUUUUAAUCACUCCAAGCUGAUUGGGCUUUCUUUUAUUGGUCUAGUAACUAAAUUAGUCCUCUAAUAGUUAUACGUUCUAUUAAUUUGAUCUUAAAUAUAAAAAAUUCAAUAAAUCUAGCCUCAAUGCUCACAAAAUUUAUCAUUUUAGUUUUAAUUCUAAAACUUAAUUGCGAUUUUUAAUUCACUAACCCCCGAUUUACUAUCCCAAUUUUUGGGAUGUGACAUGACAGCAUUAUGUAAAUAUGAUAUAAUAAUAAUCACUGAUAGCAUACAAAUAAAUUAUUGAUUACAUACCCUAUUGUAUAAACUAAAAUAUAAUUUUACUACAAGUUCUAUAAUAUGAUAUCUAAUGGGUUAAUUUUUAAAAUUGCAUAUUUUGAAAUUAAAAAAAAUAAAAAAGUUAAUUUAUAAUGAUUUCUAACUUAUAUGCUUUUCAAUGUUAAAAAUUUUAUUAGAAUUAUUAGUAAAAAAAUGCAUAAAUGAUUGAUAGCAUAAUCAUUUUAAAGACAAAUAAUUAUAAAUUAAUUAUAUAAAAGAGAUAACAUUUUGUACUUUGUUAAUAUAAAAAGGGUAAACACUUCAUAACAUAGUAAUAAAUAAAUUAUAAUACAUGAAUAACUUAUGGAUAAAAUAAUAAAGAAAUAAUAUAGUAUAAAAUUAAAUAAUUAAUAAUAUAAUAUAGUAAUAAAAUUUAUAAAUAUCAUUAUUUUUAAUGCCUAGUCGUAUAUACAUCAUUUUAAUUAAUAAAAAAUUAUAAUAUUGUAAAUAAAACCAUGAUGAUAGUUUUGUCUCACCUUAAAUCAUUUUGAUUAAAAUAUGUUUAUAUUUUAUUAAUAUAUUAAUAAAAAUGGAAUAUAUUUUAAUUAAUACAUUAUCUUAUUUAUUAUUUAUUAUAUGUUAUUUUUAGACAUUAAAUACGUGACUUCCACAUGCAUAUUCGUGUGAUAAGAUUUCUAGCGUUAUUUGAACCUUUCAGACAAUAAAAUUUUUAAUUAUUAGACUCUUGAUAUACUCAUAAAAACAAUCUACAUUUUUUUCUAAAUCUAAACCCAUUUUGGCCUAGCUCAGUCAAUCCAAAAAAUGACUCAUUUUACUGUUCAAAAAUAAUAAAAUAUUUUUAUUAAUUAAAUUGAAUUCGAGCUGUACCGUCUCAAGACAUGGAGGGGUUGAUAGCCAACUUCUAUACCAUAUUUUUUUUACUUUAAAAUUUGAAGCGAAUAUAUAGGGAAAAUUAUAAAAAUAGUCACUUUUGUUUACCUCAUAUUACAUUUUAGUCAUUUACGUUAUCGUUUUGUUACGAAGCGGUCACUCUACCAUUAAGCUUUUUACCUCCCUAACAACAGUCCUAUGUGGUAGUCCAAAUGGGUUUUAAAUGCUAACUUGGAUGUUUUACAUGACAGUCCAAAUUAAAUUUUUUAAUUAAAAACUUAUUUUCAUCCCAACAAAUGGACAUCCAAGUUGACAUUUAAAACCCAUUUGGAUUGCCAUGUAAGACUAACGUUAAGGAGGUAAUAAAGUUUAAUGAUAAAGUGAUUAUUUCGUAACAAAGAGAUAACGUAAGUGACUAAAACGUAACAUUUCAAACAUAAGUGACUAUUUUUGUAGUUUACCCGAAUAUAUAUUAUUAUAUAAAAUUUGAUAUUUAUUAAAAUUUACGAAAUAAUAUAUUAGUGUUAAAUGUGAUAAAAGAUUAUAAUAAUAUCAAAAAAAGUUUAUAACUUAAAUGUUUUAAAUGUAAGUAUGAAAAUUUAGAAGGUUAUUUUGGAAACUACAUAUAUAUAUAUAUAUAUAUAUAUAUUAGAGAAGAAUAAGAGAAUAAGAGAGGGAAAAUGUUUAAAAAGUGGAGGCAGUUUGAUUUCUUAUUUAUGCUUUUAACCUCUUCCUUCCAUCAUUCCUUUUCUCCUCUCUUUUGCACUAUCCUCCCCCCUCCUUUCCCACCAACCCUUUUAUCCUUCUCUUCAUCAACAUCAAAAAUAUACCUGAAAUUGUAUUAAAAUGGAGAAAUUUCGUUUAUAAAAUAAGAAAAUAUAAACUAAACUAUAAAUGGUUGAUACCUUUAAAAGCUUUCUAAGGGUUUCAAUAGAAAAACAUUUUUAAAGUUUGGAUGGUCAUCCCACUCCAACGAUUCCCACCAUUCUGUGCUUGACCUGAUGGUAAGAGAAGGUGGAGCAUAUGCAAAGGGCUGCCCAUUGCCAACAAGGGGAACAAAUGGAGGAAUUCUCUUCAGUUUAUCACAAUCUCCAUCAACUUGGAUAAGUUGGAGAGAAUCACAAACCAUCACUCCACUUUUGCUGCAUAUGCUCUUCAAAUUUGGUAAUUCCCAGAAUGACAACUCUCUCAAUUUGGGAAGAUGGAAUUUGAUUAAUGCAUCACUCCCUUUUUCUUCAACUUCUGAUGUUGUUGCUCCCAAUAUUUCUACUAGCUGUCUACAAGCCUCCAGGUGUAUUUCUUCCAGGUUUUGGAGGUUUGGAAGCAACCAAUGUGGAAGCAACGUCUUCAU
Molecule: long non-coding RNA, 65091 nt
Filed under: Gossypium barbadense (sea-island cotton)
Lineage: Eukaryota; Viridiplantae; Streptophyta; Magnoliopsida; Malvales; Malvaceae
Description: long non-coding RNA (GBAR_LNC016677)
Source: RNAcentral